This 83565-nucleotide long non-coding RNA is filed under the name Coffea arabica (coffee). RNAcentral's name for it is "long non-coding RNA (CARA_LNC005266)". The stretch from base 74915 to 75002 matches the Rfam family "Small nucleolar RNA snoR26". Lineage: Eukaryota; Viridiplantae; Streptophyta; Magnoliopsida; Gentianales; Rubiaceae. The record is from RNAcentral.
ACCCCGGUCCUUUUUUUUUUUUGCUUAAUAAACGAAAGGGUUCCUUGCUACCAACCCAAUUUGGAAGCAGCAUAAAAGAUUUAGGCUAAACCACAAUGGUGUUAUGGUUUAGAAAUCCAUUACAAAAGCGAAAAGAAGGUAUAAAGAAUGGUUGUAGCAGAUUCUCCAUUUCUGAGCAAAAUUUACCUCUGACACAAAAUGAUGCCUUUCUAGACUUCUGUACAUGAUAAAUAGAUCGAACAAUAAUAUAUAGAAGAUCCCAUCACAUAUCCUUCCCAUCUCGCACAAUGUUUCUUCAAAAAAUUAUUUAAUGAUUCCAAGGGUCGAGUCUACAAAAAAAAAUUAAAAUGAAAAAGCAUAGAAAUCACAUCAUGCAUUUUCUUUUCAAUUUUUAAAGCACGUUAGAGGGAUAACUAGAUGACAGAUAGCAAAGACAGCGCACCAUUGCCUCGGGUUCUUAUUCUUCUUCUAUUUUUCUCUCUCUCAUUUUUGGUUUUCUUUUUGUGUACACAAUGAAAAUCAAAAGCUGCAUGCUUUGCAAAAAUCGAGCCAUUUUCUUUAGUUAAACCAAUAAGGGAAUUUUCUUUUAUAUUGAGGACAUGCUCCUAUGAGCUAAAUAACUAUUUAUUUUUGCCAUUUUGUAAUAUAUCUCCAAUACAUCUUUAGAUCUUUUUAAAAAAAAUUAAAAGAAUUUAUAGCCAAGCACUUUAUUCUUUUUCACUUCAAGCCAAGUUCAUCUAUAUAACUCUACCAUCUUUUCUUUUCUUCUCCUUUAUUUAGUUCCGUGUCAACAAAUGACAAACAACUCACAACCUCGAGUUGGGGCGUGAGGCAUAUAUUCUGUGAGAAAAAUAACAUUAUAUUGCCGAGGAUGACUUGCACACCUUAUCUUUAACAGUUUUACAUAUGCAAAUCUCGAAAAUUCUCCAAUUCUGAUACUAGAAGAGAAUAAAAUGUAGCUGCCAACCUCCAUAAUCAAAGAAAAAUCCAAUUAAAAUAUUUGGAAUACUUUAGACUGUUAAUAUGCGUGGUAAUCAACGUUGCUAUGAUAUAUGUCAUUUUGAGUUAAUGUUUUUCUUUCAAUUUUAAGAGCUAAUUAACGUCAACAUGUAGUUCAAGAGCGUGAUUUCUUGUUGUAGUACUUAAUCAAUUCUCAAAUAUUUGUGUUUAAUUGGUAAGGAUCGAGAAGGUAUGGGUAUCUUUAAAAAAAAAAAGGGAUAGAACUAUCUUAUUUAAAAACUUGAGGGGCUGAAUUUGUUCGUUGUUUUAUUCGAAAGCCCAAUUAGCACUAAUGUGACAUUGUGCAUUUAGAUACCAUAAAAUAAUAGAAGUGAUAUUUGCACUCCAAAAUUAAUUUCUUGCACUCCUUAGAGGCAUGUUAUUUAGUGAGUGGAUUGGAGUGCAAGAGCCUAAAAUGGACGCAUGGAUAUCAAUUUCCUAAAAUAAAUAAAUUAUUUUUUAUACAUUGACAGUGUAUAAUUAUCAGAAUUGGAUGUUGGAUGUAUGACAACAAAUCUUAAUCUGAAUUUGAAAUUCAAAAUUUUGCAUAUAUCCUGAUAGUGUGUGUGUGUGUGUAUGUGUGUGUGUAUAUAUAUAUAUAUAUAUAUAUAUAUAUAUAUAAUUGUGACAGUAUAUAUCCUAAAAGUGUAUAUAAGAUUAGAGUCUAUCUACAAACAACCGAUCUAAAAUCACAAAAUUGCUAAAUGAUAGACACGAAUAUGAAAAUUCUUAAAAUCAUAAAAGUGGGUCAUCUUUUAGUUUGUUUUUACAACUUAAGUCAUAUGUUGCUUAGUUUAGGAUUGUCCAUAAUAAGAUUAAUUUAAAAUGAAUUUGUCAAUGAGGCCCAAGUGUAUUGAUUGAAAACAACCACGGUAAAGACUUCAUGAACAAAAGGUUUUCUAUUAUGGACUGUAAUUAAUUUUCUACUCAUUCCAUCCCAUUUAAUAGUCUUGAGAUUUUUCUCAUAUAGUUUUAAGAAAAAUUAGCUAAUUUUGUUGGAAAGUAAAUCUGACCUAAUGUUUUUCUAAAUACCUUUAUAUUAAUAUUAAGAGUAUCAGUAAUCACUAUACCUUUACAUUAAAUAUAACAACAAUAAUAAUGGUAUAUUACACCAUUCAAGACAUAUAUCAAGUGGAAAAGUUGACUGUGUUAAAUAAGGUAGAUUAUAUUUACUAAUAAUGAAGUAUAUUAACCAAGGGUAUUUUGGAGAAAUUAAAAAUUAAAUAUAUUCUUGAAUUGAAAGUUAGACUAUAAUUUGAAAUGGAUGAAAAGAAAAAUAAAACUAUCAAAAUAGAACGGAGGGAGUAUAAAUAUGUGUCUUCCUCUAUAUGGGUGGUUAUACGCUUAUUGUUGCUAACUGAAAGAAAAUGAAAUGAAAAGAGAAUUUAAACUUUUCUUUUUCUUUCAUAUGCUAAGAUACAACUUAUAGACUCCAUAAGAUUUUAGUAUGCAGUCCAAGGUUGAGACACAAAAAAGUAGAAGUCUACAAAUAUGAGUUUGAGUCUCACUAAAUGUGAGUUUUAUUAGCAAUAAGCCAUUCAACAUCCCAUUGGUUUUGAGUUAGAAGUUACAAUUGUGGAUUACUUGCGAACAUAUAAAAAACCAUAUGACUUAAUAGACAUGAAAAGCCUCAUUCCCAUAAAAAUCCCAUAACAAUUUGAUUCUCGAGAAAAAGCUAAUCAAGGAAAAGCCAUUCUAGAAUUUUUUUUUUUUUCUUGCAACGAACAAAAGAUGCCCAGUUCAUAUUUGCUGUUCUUGUUUGAGCAGUAGAGGAUCGUUCCAAGUUCGUGCGUCGGCAUGGGAUAGGGUGUUCUUGUGGUUGUCUGACAGACUAACCUCUAUUGUUUUGUUCUUCUAUUUUUUUUUUUAAUUGUGGUUAAAAUUAAUUGAUUUAUCAAUUUUUUCCAAAGUAAACAUUCUUGUUAAUCGAGGCCAGCUUAUGGUAGCACAUGACUCAGACAACUGAGAACCAAACCUCAUUCAGACCAAUUUAAGUGAAAAUUUCAAUUUUUGCUUACCAUUUCGAAGAAAAAUUGCUUUUGCCUGGCAUGUUAAAGAAUAAUCCAAAUUGAAAAGAGUGCUGGCUAAGGCCAGUUGCUUAGUCUUGCGAUCUUCUCUCAGGAUAAACUAUCACCUCUUCCGCCAAGAGAAACCAAAGUCUUCUGAUACACUAAUUUGGGGAGUGAAAUCGAUGGACUUUUGCAUGGCUAAUAUGACUAACUUAGUCCAAGUUGAUGAAAUACCUAGAUAUAACAGUGUCUCUCUGUUUUUUUUUUUCAUUUUUCCUGUUAGGCGGCCUCAGGGUGCAGGGCCUCGCUAUAAAAUAUCACGUGUAUUAUUUAAUGAUUUUUUUCAAUUCUGUACUCUAAAGGCACAAUAGUGGUGAGAGAUGGAUGAGAUUAUUGGAAUUGGAUGGUCUGAAAGGAAGGACGGUAAGCGAGAAAUCCUGAAUUUGUACCCUUCCAUUGACACCCAAAACAAUGUGAAAAAGGUGCAUAGUAAGAAGAGUGGACCCCUAUUUGAUCCACUAUAAAAUUCCAAUAUUAUGAUCCACGACGAAUUAUGCAAGUUUCAACCAUAGCGGAUCACUCCAAAUUCCAUCAACUUCAAUUAGGUACAUCAUGUAAAAUUAUUAAUUUACUAAAUUGGGGUUCUCCAAUCAUCAAAGUCGAUAUCUCUUUGCUGUAUGACCUGUUUGGAGGAUUUGGAAUAUUUUGAUAAAUUUAGAAUGCAAAGUAUUCAAAAUAAAGGAGUUUAAAGGAUAAAAACGUAAAGGGUGCAGAAUAGAACGAGUCCAUAUUAUUUUUAUUUUUUUUUUUGGGUUCACAUACAAGUCCAUUUGAUUCCACAUUAUUUGAUCAAUUUAUUUUGUAGGGGAAAAUCUAAAAGGCUCUCUUUUAGGUUGGAGUCAACAAAUAUUAAUUGCUCACAAAUGGGGAGUCAGCUGCCACAGCGGUCGUGGUACGUACUUCCCCUUGCAUUUUGUACGGAAAUCUAAAUAAUGAUCAACCUCAAUAUUUUUAUGCAAUUUGCAAUUAGAAAUGGGCAAGAACCAACAUGUUUACUCGAUUUUUGGUGAGCCCAGAAGAUUGACAUUCUAUUGCUUAGCACAACUUGCCUAUCUCAGCUUUAACAAUUGUUACUAGAAGCGAAUAAAAGGUAGCUACACAACUACCUCUUUCAAGAAAAAAAAAAAUAUUUCUAGUGAAGACAGGAAAGAGAAGUAUUGGGAGACAUGGUGAAUAAGCAUUGAUACCUUGAUAUAAUUCAAGCUAGCUUCCGACGGUGUUAAUUGUUUUAAAGCCUUCAGUCUGUGUUUUGGCUAAGCAGCUAAACAGAUCAAAUUUUGCAUAUUUUCAGGGCUACAAAAUGUGUAAUAGAAAUAAUUGUGAAAAAAAACAAUUGAACUUUAAUACCGGAUAAAAUCACUUUUUCGAAUCUGGCUCACAAGUUUCCCCAUAUAUGUCUGUAAUCUAGAGCUCCAUUCAAAAUGUUAUUUGAGUUUUGAUAAUACUCCAAAAUCAAUUCAAGUUCGCUGAUUUGAAGUAGCUAGUUGAGGCUUUUUUUUUUUUUUUCUUUCUUUCUUUUGGGAGCAAAUGAAGAACUUUUAUUGAUGAGCAGUAAAAGCUUGUUAAAGCAAGAGGCAUUGUUUUGCUAUAACCCUACUUCUAACUGGAGAAAUCUACUACAGGUCCGAAAAUGAUUUUAGUCCAAUCUAUAUGUAGCUAGUUGAGGCUUUAUAUUUUGUUAUCCAAUAUGAUUUUAGUCCUUCUUGUGGGUAUGAGUUAAGGCGUGGUUCGUGUAUUAUGUCCAAGGUGAGUCAUCAAGUCAGCAACCGUUAGAAACAAUUUGUAGACACAAUAUAUGUACUAACACAAUAGAUAUAGAUAUUUAAAUAUCAAUUAUGGACACUAAAAAAAAACACAGUUUUUAAUGCAAACACUAUAUUAAUAUUUGCACGUUGUUGUCUAAGUGUCGAUAUUUGAUAAUUUGAUAUGUACAAUACGAUCGUUCUUGUAAUUCUUUUUUCUUGUAGUUGAGAACAGAACUGAAAGCUAUAUUACGUUCAGGCGACUUUGUAAAGCAAAUGGAUUAACUGCUCUCAAGGCCUUCAAAGUUUCUUUAACCUUAAAAGAACCUGAACAACAAGCAGUCCAGAUGGUUUGGUGGUCUCCAUUUUCAGGAUAUAUAAGGUACAAAUUAAGAGGUUAGCAGUAGCAAGCUGCUGCUUGAGCAUUCUGAACUGAUCAGCUAACAAUUCACAAGCCUCGAGAAGUCGUGGUUAAAGUUCUUGCAAGAUUUUGUCGUUCAGUUUACUGAGGUUUGUCUGCCUGAUGUGGAAAACGGAAUCUUGGGUUUGAGACCUAAUUCCAUACCAUCGAUUAAAUCUGCCAAGAAACCAUUUAGAACUCUUAUGUGUUGUCCGUGUAGUUAUGAUAAAAAGGCUUAAUUUUUAGUAUUUACAUUCAUUCUUUUAUUUCUUUGUAACUUUCUGCAGGUGUAGAGGAAGCUCAACGGGUGCUGGCAAGAGAAGGAGCAUGGCACCGUUGCCAUGCUAGUCAAUACUGGUUGCCUUUCGCUAGGCUGAAUCCUAAGGGGUCUCAAACCACAUCCCUAUCCUGAUUCACUUUGGACAGCUGCGUGAAAUUUUUAGCAGUUUUGUGUUCUAUUUGUUUGCCUUUUCCUUACAUAUUUCAACUGGCUCAAAUAGGCCUAAUUAAAGGUUAUUGUAAUCAUGGUUCAAAGUCGUGGCGACGGUCGCUGUCGUGGAUCGGACUGUUACACAGCGGUCUCGAUAUAUCGAUUGCGGUCUCAGCGAGACGUAAAUUUUUUAAAUAUUUAAUAUUCUAAAAAUUGUAAAAAAAAAUAUGAUAAACAAAAAUAAUAAAAAAUUAGUAAAAAAUAAUAAAAAUUCGAGUUGAUUCGGGAUAAUUCGGACCGAUUCUGCCAUUUCUAUCCAUCUUGGAGACAUUUUGAUUGAAUUUUCGGUGAUUCAUUAUAUCGGAAUCAUCUCAUCUCAGUUUCUGAUUAGAAAGUCCCGUUUUGAUGACAAUUCAACUGAGUCGUUUUGGUCUCGGCCGAGUGUUUGAACCAUGAUUGUAAUACAUCGUCAUCAAGUCUUAUCAAUUAUUCUAUUGGUUAAGCCCUAUUCUCAUGAAUUAAUGCACUCAAAGGUUUUCUUGAACCUUUUUGAAACACUCUUGAAAGUCAAUCGUGCAUUACUUUCUUUAGGAUUCGAUUCGCUGUCGCUAAUUAUUUAAGUUGAGUUGGUAAGGACAUCUACUGAUCAAGUUUAAAUACCACAAUCGCCAUUCGUAUUACUAUUAAGUAAAAUUUAUUAAAUUAUUUAUCAAACUAAAUGUAUAAGAGAAGAAUAUUCACUGAAGUUAUUUAUUCUUCUUGGAUUAGAAGAAGACUUUAAAAAGUGACCACACGGGCAUACCUGACUUUAUAUGAUAACACAACUAAAAAAGGACUCCAAAACCCGGUCUUAGUAGAACUAGUACAGCUUCAUGCCAGAAUCCUUGUCACCCCAAGGUGGCUUUUAUGCAAGAAAGGGAGAAAAAACUAAACAAAACGGAAAAUUAAAAGACAGAGCCUGAAAUCUAUAAAUGGUGCCUGAAAUGUAAUCACAUCCAGAUAGCGUUGGCUUCGAUAAGCAAUGGCUUCAACUUGCCCUUAACAUUGAGGCUCAUAACCUCAUUGGAACCACCAACAAAAAUCUUACCUAUGAAAACAGCAGGAACACUAGGAUUGCAUCCUAAUGUUAGCAAUGCAUUCUCAACUUCUCUUCCUUUUGGAAGGUGAUCAAGCUCAUAAACCGUAGGGUUCGCCCCAAAGCUGCUUAUCAGAAUCUUGAUAGCAUGGGAAAUGCAGCAGUUGCUCUUGCUGAAGAUCACCACUGGCUUUUCUGACCCCAAUCUCCUCACUGUUUCCAUUCUACUUUCUAUAAAACUUGCUUGUCAAGAAGUUAAAAAGUUCGAACUACUACUUGAGUUGAUAGGAAGUUUAUGACUUGGUUUGAGAAAAUUUCUGAAUUGUACAAAGGUAUAUAUAGAGGGCUAAGGAUGAUGGAUUGUAAUACUUCUGUUCAAAUAGGAAAAGUAGGAAAUGUGUCUGAUCUUGCUUCUAAAGUUGAUGCUUCAGAAAUAUCAGCAGCUAUUCGAACAGGGUAAAGGUUCAAUCUGUCUUAGGUAACAUAUAGAAUCUUAAGUUGCGUUAGCAUGCUGACAACAUAAAAAUUGGAAAAGUAGUAGUGGAUGAUUUCUUCUUUUACUAGAAAGAUUCUAAGGCCUGGAAGGUUUACUAUGGAUCACGAAUUCAGUUAGAUUUGUCAAUAUCAAAGAAAUUCUUAUAGUACGAUCCCUUGAAGUUUCCAAAGAAAUUCUUACAUCGAAUCAAUUGACGAUACAAUGAAUAAUAAGACAGCCUUCUUUUUUUCUUUUUUUUUUUGAAAAAAGUAGUGAUUAAUAGUAACUUAUAGUUCAAAAUUAGUAGGUAAAUGCACCCCUUGAUAUGCGCAGCUGUCUAUGGUUUCAGCAAGUUAAAACAGAAAUAUAUAGACUAUUACACUUGCAUUGUGAGAGUAUUAAUUGCAAAAAGAAAUUUUAUGACAACCCUUGCAUCAUUUUAUGAGACAUUUAUAAGAUAUUGUUAUUUUAUUUUUUGUACUUAUGAGAGUGUGAACAAAGUAAGUUAAUCAAAAUUGGGGAGUUGUUAUAAAUUCCUCUCUCUGUUUUGGUUUGGGAUAAGUUUGUACAGAUGUUAAUUAUAAUUUCAAGUGAAUUAAGCCAUGGAGGUGUUUGAUUGUAUUUUUGAAUCGGAUUCAAAAUUGCAAUAGGAAUCACAAUCAUAAACCCCACUAUUGGUACAGGUUUUCAUCACUUUCUAUUUUAUAUAUAUAUAUAUAUAUAUAUAUAUAUAUAUAUUGUUUUUGAACCGAAAUGGGGAUCAUUCUUUUUUUUUUUUUUUAAAUCAGAACUUUUUUAUUUUAUUAAUGGAAGAGAUAUACACAAUAUUUUCUUACAGACGUCUAAAAAUGGGGAUCAUUCUAUUAAUGAGUUGAUUACUUUGAAAUCUAAUUGGUAAUCAGUGAGGAAUGAUUUUUAUAACAUUCAUAUUUUCAAUGAAUGAUUUUUAUUGUGGUCUAUCAAACAAUAGAUAUAAUUGAACAAAACAAAACGUUGGACUUCCCCAGGUGAACAGAAUAUAAUUCCUUUGACUGUUUAAGGACAAUAGUUUUAAUUGUUUGAGGCUGUUAGGUUCAUGAGUAAAUGAUUAUGUCUCACAUUUAUCCGAGAAAUAGAGAAAGAACAGUUAAUAUAUAAGUAAGGACCCAAAACCUAAUGAUUUAAGUUUUUGGAUCAGAGUUGAAUUCCUGACUUACAUAUUGGUCUCUUUGGUGAACUUUCUCGAGGUGUUCCCCCUAUCAAAUUAGUAUCAGAGUUUCAGGUUGCGAGUUACUCGUGGGCAAGUGAAUCUUUUUUGGAAUUGGAUCAGUGAAAAUUCGCUUUUUGGUGGUGGACUGAAGUGCCAAGAAGUUUGAUUGGUAUUAAACCAGGUGCGAUAUGAGUUUGGCAGGGGUCCGGUUGGUGUUAGACCAAGGAGUCAAAGGUUGGCAAGGGUCUAGAAUGCAGUUUGGAUGUUAAAGAAAAGUGGAUCCAUAUUUGGGAGAAGAUGUGACCUUAGGUGAUAAAGUGAACUUGUAUUGAGUAUUAAAAUGGGUUCGAAAAAGGGUUUGUAAAUUUGGAUUUAAUGUAAGAGGUUACUCGUGAAGAUAAAGAUUUAUUAGAUUCAUGAGAAAAGGAUUUAUGUCCUAGAUUGGUCCGAAAGAUAAAGAAAGAACAGUUAAUAUAUAAGUAAGGAUUCAAAACCUAAUGACUUAACUUUUUGGAUCAAAAUUGAGUUCCUGACUUAUAUAUUGGUCUAUUUGAUGGACUCUCUCUAGGUGUUCUUCCCUGUCGGAAACCAAUAGUACGUAUGAUUUUGUUUUCUUUCCAAAUAUUUUAGACCAUGUAUAUUACAAAGAAAAGGGACUUCUGUUUUUCAUUUUGUUUUUCCUUUUAGGUAAUAAAGAUAAAGAGGAAGUCGUUGCUUAUCAAAGUUGACUGACGACUUCAACUAACAAAAGUAAAACCGAACCAUUCCCCUCCUAAAAAGCCACGCGGGUCCCUCUAACAUUUUGCUUUUGCAAUUGAAGGAUUCUUCACCACCAACCCAAUUUGAAAACAGCAUAAAUAUGUAGACCAAGCCAGGUUGGUCAUGGUCUAAAAAACCAGUACAAAAGCGACAAGAAGCUACCAAGAAGAGUAGUAGCAGAUUCUCCAUUUCUGAGCAACAUUUUUCUCUUAACACAAAAAUGAUGCCUUUCUCCACAUGAUAUAAAUAGGUAGAAUAAUAAUGUCGAAGAUUCAAUAGUAUUAUCAAUCCAUUAGAUAUUUGAUGAACCCGAGGGUUGGUUAAUUCCCGUUUCUUUUAAAGGCAAAAUGCAUUUUUUGUCCACAAAAUUUACAGGAAUUGGUCCUCAGGGUUUCAACUAAUUAAAACAAAUGUAGUCCCUAAAGCAUAUUAAGUCAUUAUGUUGGUCCUUAAUGAUUUAUAAAAUAUACAAAAUUCUAUUCAUAUAAAAUAAAAAUAUACACGAAUUCUAUAAUUAUUGUGGAAAAUUACAAAAAUAUAAUGAUUUAAAAAACUCUAUGAAAUAAGCGUAAGGCAACCCAAGAAAUUCAAUUAAUAUUAAAAUAAAUCAUGUGUUGUGAAUGAGCUAUACUUAUUUGUUUUGUGUGCUUUUCUAACAAACAAAUUAAGCAUUAUAAUUUGUACUUGGCCUACUUUUAUGUACAAAUAACAAUUUAGCAUAUCUACCAGCUGUCAUCAUUUGGUAAAAAGUAAAUAUGUUAUAGUUAUUUUUCUAGUGUUUUAAUUUCUAAAAAAAGUUUUAUAAUUUUUCUAGAAUUUUUGUGUAUUUUUCAUAUUAUGCUAGUAAAUUUACUUAAAUUUGACAAAAGCAUUGGGAACUAAUUUGGGCAACAACAUACUUUAGGGACUACAUUUAUUUAGAUCAAAAUAAUGAGGAAUAAUUUGGUAAAAAUUGAAAUUUUACGGAUUAUUUUUAGUAUAAUUGAAAUAAUGAGGACCAAAUUGGUCUUAUCUCGAAACUUUGAAGACUAAAAGUGAAUUUUUUUUUCUUCUUAUAUAAAUAACAUUUAAAUUAGAUUUAGAGGAUAAGCGGAUGACAUAACAAGUGUAAGCGAUACCAAUUUUAUUAACCCCAGUUUAGUUUCUUAGACAAUUCCAAAAUCAGAACCGGUAUGCUUUGGGUUUGUUGACAAGGAGUUUCGUCCAUUUAUAAGGGGAAACUCUGCCAAAAUUUUUAAUAAAAAAAAUAAAUAAAUAAAAAAGAACCGGUAUGCUUUGCAAAGACUGCAUUUUUUGUCAAUUAAGCCAAUACAUCCUCCUAUGAGCUAAGCAACUAAUUAGUUUCAUCCUUUUGUAAUUGAUCUCCAAUUUAUGUUUAGACUAACUAAUUUGAAGAAAAAUAAAUGAAAAUGUGGCAAGCACUUUUGUUGCAUUUGAAGCUCACCUUCGUAGAAAUAUAUAUAGCUUCAGCUUAAGUAAGCCGGUCACUCCACUCUUUCUUUUCAAAAAAAUAUAAAAAAAAAAAAGUUUAGCCAUUUAUCUACCAAGUAUAUAUAUAUAUAUAUAUAUAUAUAUAUAUAUAUAUAUAUAUAUAUAUAUAUAUAUAUAUAUAUAUAUAACAUAAGAUAAUUAACCAAAGUUAUUUCUUCUCAUUAUGUUGGAAAGCUGUAAAAGUACAUAGACACUGACAUAGAUCAAAAUUGACUCUUGAGAACUAACAGAGACUCAAAAUUGAUCAAAACUUUGUCUUAGUACAAUUGUUAAGACUUCAUGCCAAAACCCUUGUCACCUCAAAGUGACCUUCAUGCAGAAGAGGGAGGAAAAACAAAGCUAAACGGGUAAAAAAAAAAAAAAAAGCACACUCACACGAAACCUAUGGAUGGUGCCUUAAAUGGAAUCACAUCCAUAUAGCGUUGGCCUCGAUAAGCAGUGGCUUCAACUUGCCACGAACAUUGAGGCUCAUAACCUCAUUGGAGCCACCAACAAAUAGCUUCCCUAUGAAUACAGCAGGAACACUUGGAUUACAUCCUAAUGUUAGCAAUGCAUUCUCAAUUUCCCUUCCUUUGGGGUGAUGAUCAAGCUCAUAAACCGUAGGAUUCGCCCCGAAGCUGCUUAUCAGCACCUUGAUAGCAUAGGAAAUGCAGCAGUUGCUCUUGCUGAAGAUCACCACUGGUUUUUCUGAUCCCAACCUCCUCACUGUUUCCAUUCUACUUUUGGUAAAAUUCGCAAGGUCAAGAACUUGAAAUUUUUUGAGCUACCGCUUGAGUUGAGAGGAAUUGUAUGGCUUGGUUUGAGAAAAAUCUUGAGUUCCAUAAAGGUAUAUAUAGAGGGCUAAGGAUGAUGGAUUGCAGUAGUUUUCUUCAAAUCGGAAAAGUUGGUAAUCCAGAAGAUUUUGAUUCUAAAGUAGAUGCUUUAGAUAUUAUCAGCAGCUAUAGAAAUAGGAUUGAGGCUUGAUCCGUCUUAAGUUGCCCUUUCAUGCUGACAACAUUGAAAACGGAAAGCAGCGGUAGAUGAUAAAAGUUUUCUUCGUAAUUUUACUAGAAAGAUUCUGAGGCCAGGAAGGUGUACUAUGGGUUAUGAAUUCAGUUAACCAUGCGUUUAUGCAAAUGUUCAUUAGAAACUCAAGUGAGUAAAACUAUAUCUGCAGAAAUUGGACAAGAAAAAUUCAAAAAAAAAAAAAAAGAAAAGAAAAGAGAAAGCAAAACAGUGGACUUCUCCGAGUGAAAAGCAUAUAAUUCCUUUGACUGUUUACGGUGAAUAGUACGUGUAACCAUGUUCCAAUCUUUCCUUUUUCUAAGUAGAUAAAUUUCAUAUUGCAAAAUAUCUUAGGCAACUUAUUGCAAAGAAAAAGGUUUUCUAUCCCUUUAGUUUAGGGAUAAAGGUAGGAGUAAGUCGUUGUUAUCAAAGUUGAUUGACGUGCAGAGUGUUUUUUUUUUUUUUUUUUUUCACAGAUCAAAUUUGAUCUUAUUUAGACUAUUUAUUUUAAAAGACAUUUAUUUUAAGAUGAUUGAUUCAGAUUGAACAAAUGUGGUCCAAUCAAGACUCUGAUCGAAUCAAGCUAGUAUGACCCGCAUCUUUCAACUAAUUAAAUUAUCGACCACCCAAGUGCCUUCAAUUAUUUUGCUUUUGAAACGAAAGGAUUUUCUGCCACCUAUCCAAUGAGGAAACUGAAAUGAAAGAUAUGCACUAAACCAUAAAUGGUCAUGGUCUAGAGGGCCGUUACAAAAGCAAGAAGAAGAUACAAAGAAGGGCUUUAGUCGAUAAUAUUCUCCAUUUCUGAGCAAAAUUUUUCUCUAACACAAAGAUGAUGCCUUUCUAGACUUUUACCACAUGAUAAAUAGAUCGAAGAAUAGUUUUCAAGAUUCGACCAUAUUAUCUUCCCUAUCUCACCAAAUGUUCCAUCAAAAAGAUGUUUAAUGAUUCCAAAGGGUCGGUUUUUAUGCUUUGCACUUUUUAGAAAGAAAAUUCAUUAAAGGACUAACUAGAUGACCCAUAAGAAGGGUAACACUUACCAAUUUAGUUAAACGUUGCCUCGAUUCUUUUCUUCUUCCAUGCAAAAUUUGAAAAUCAGAACUAUGUUAUAUAUAUAUAAAUAUAUAUAUAUUGAAAAACUGCAGGAGCAAAGAUUACUGUUUUUUUCGCAAGUGUUAUGUUGUUCAUAAGGAAAUACUUUAGCAAAGAAACCUUACAAGUGCAAUGUAACCAAAGCCACACUAGGUCUACUAUGUUUCUUCUUUAUGGCUUUUAUGAAUGCCCUUAAGGAAAAGAAGAAAAAAACACAAAAAAAAACACUUACUAUUAGCAAAAAGCAGACAUCCUGAUUAGCAAACAGAUGUGUCACACAAAUUAAACCUAAAUGAGACCAACUUUCAAGUAAAUAUCACCAAAAGAUAUACUAUUUGCAGUUGUCCUCAAAACACAAUUCAACUGAUAGGGACGUAAAUCAGAACGUCAAUCAUGCGACAGUGAAAUGUUUUAUUUCGUUUCUCCUUGUAAGGUUUAGAACAUACCCAAGCCAGAUAUGCUUAGCUAAAAUCAGUAGCUUUCACUUUCUCCUGGCUGAUCAUCCAUAUUCCGCCAUGAUAAUCCAUCACCUCUUGCGCUGAGAGAAACCAAUGUUUCCUGAUACACAAUGGCUCUUAGGGUAAGUUCAGUCCCAAAAAUGUCAUAUUUCAUGAUUGCUUGGCUGUUAUCACGCAGAGAGCGAGAAAUCAAACAUCCAUCCUCACCAACCCUUUGCAGCAAAAGCAGCUUAUCAUCAUUCCAAGAGGAUAAUGGUAAAUUAAGUCCAGCCAUGGGGGUUUGUAAGGAAAAUUUCUUGAUCCAAGACUCUUUGACGCCAUACUCCAUCAUCACCCAUAUAUCCAUGGUUUCCUCAUACAAGAGUGAGGAAAAUGGCAGGUAAGGGAAUUUGAUCGAGAUAGCAGCAAGAUCCCCAUCCAAGACGAAAACAUCCGGUCUUACAUGCGGCUGUCGCGCAUCAGAGGGAUAUUCUAUCUUUCUAAAAACCUCAGUGCACAUGUUGAAAGAAAGGAUAUUUCUCAUGACCGACCCCGACUCAGGGUCGAUGUCAGAUGCAUCCCAGUGAAAGCAUCCAUUGACUGUGGCAGGGAAACAUGGGGGAUAAAUGUUCACUACUUGUGGAAGGAUAAGAUCAACCUUUCUCCAAGAAUUUGUACAGAGCUUGUAUAUUUGAACUCCCAUCACCAUCCCCAAAUAAGAAUAAUUACUUCUUGAUUUUGGAUAAAGUUUAUAUAGCUUGACUACCUUGUAAUCUUGGGUGGAUGGAUCAAAGCCAAACCCUAAAGCAUGUGGACUGACCGAUUUGAACCCUUUUGGUGGAUCAAAGCGGAGGCUUGGAGGAAGUGUCAGGAAUUGGCGUGUUGCAGGAUUACACAGAUGAAUUUCGGAGAGAUCCGAGAAGCAAACGAUGCCAUUGCACGCUCCAUAUAUGUCGAAUGAGUAACGAUUCCACGAAGGUAGCUCUAUAUUAGGGGCAACACUGCGGAGAGAUUCAUGUUCAUCGUGAGAAUGGAAUGAUAACAGGGUUUUGAAUUCGUUCUUGAUGAACCGCUUGACGAGGACGACUUUGCGAUUCUUGCUGUGUAAGUAUUUCAGAUGCUUGUCUUCAAAAUAAGGGCUGUUGAUCAAAGCGAACCAUGUAUUAGAGACGCAGCAGAAUCUCAACAAUGUCUUGACGGGCAGUUUCACGAGGAUUUCUGCCAGGGCAUCCUCCGGCAACGAAUUCGCCAUAGUAGAAUAAAAUUCAGGAGUGGAAUCGAUGAAUGGAUUUUGGGAUUUUGUAGAGAAUCCACUAAUUAAUAUGAUGGUCCUUGUCCAAGUUCAUGGGCGAUUUCAAGCGUCCAAAACAGAGAGAGAGAGAGAGAGAGAGAGAGAGAGAGAGAGAGAGAGAGAAGGGUUUCAAAGCCGAUGAGUUGGGCUUUAGGGUUUAGCUCCGAUUAUUGCUUGAGAGGGAAAAAAUUUUUGGGUUCUGAGACGAAAUAUGACAAGUACAACGACGUUUCUAGCUCCAAAUCCAAGUUUAUGAGGAUUAAACAGAAAUUGAUGAGAAGAGAAUGAUUCAACUCCGCACUUAAACCUAAUUUUCUCAAGUAUGAGUUGUCAACUCGUUACUUUGCCAGCCAGCAGAUAUCAUACGGAACAUUACACGUAAUUUUUUCUUUUCAAGAUGGUAAAAGUUCAUCAUAUAAAUACUAGUCGGUCAAAAUUACACAUACGAAUUUAGUGAAAUUAAGCAUAUAAAUUUAAGCGUAAAUGAUACAAAUAUAUAUAUAUAUAUAUAUAUAUAUAUAUAUAUAUAUAAAUGAUGAAACUAAAAGUACGGAAAAGAUUAUUACAAUUCUCGGAGACUAUGCAGUAUUAGGACCAAUACGAGCUCUUAUCCUUCAUUAUGAGAUAUUAAAAUUAUUAUAAUUUCAUCACCUUUUUAUUUUUAUACCUAUAAAAUUUAUGAUUUAAGAAGUUGCUAGAUUGUAUAUAACUCGGAAGGUAUGCUAUUAUCUCUAUACAAAUUUUAAAACUUUUUAAAAAUUGAAGUAUAAUUUGUGAAAUAUAAUACACCAAAAGUUUAUUACAUGUUUUAUAUAGAUUAGUUGAAAAGUAUGAGUAUUAUUCAGAAUAACUUUUAAAUGAAAAAAAAAAUUUUGAUUAUACAGAUUAACAGGUAUAAUACGAGUUCUUAAUAACUAGGUUUUCAAAUUACUACAACCAAUCUAGCAAGACUAUUCACAGCUAUCAAGCAAAUCAAAAGUCGAUCCUGAGAGAACAAAAUUAACUAUUAACUCAUUUCAUUUCCAAUUGAUCAGUUAAAAUUAAAAAGCUUAAAUCACAUCCUUCAAAGCAAAACUACCAGGGAAGAUAAUUAAGUAAGCUUAUCUCUUAUCCCUUCCCACUUAAAAUAAAAACCUCAAACGUACAAACAAGAUGUUAAUAGGACAAUUGGGCAUUAAAUACCAUCAUUGACUAUAACCUUAUUAGUGCAUCAAAAUCAGAACGGUACAUUUGAUAUUACAAUGACUAAAAGUCACUCAAAACUCAAUAAAACUUACACUUAAUAAAAAUGGUAGGAGCCCAUGCUAAAGCCCUACCUGAAUUUGGGUUGCUUAAUUUGCUCAAAAGGAAAAGACAACAAUUAAAAUAGCAAAACCAAAUCCUUUGGGUGCUUAACUAUAUUCUGGUUAUUACAUCCAUAUAGCCUUUGCCUCGACAAGCAAUGGCUUCAGCUUGCCUUGAAUAUUGAGGCUCAUAACCUCAUCAGAACCACCAACAAAAAGCUUCCCUAUGAAAACAGCAGGAACACUUUGAUGGCAUCCUAAUGCUAGCAAUGCAUUCUCAAUUUCCCUUCCUUUAGGAUGUUGAUCAAGCUCAUAAACAGUAGGGUUCGCGCCAAAGCUGCAUAACAACAUCCUAAUAUAUAGCAUGUGAAAUGCAGCAAUUGCUCUUGCUGAAGAUCACCACUGGCUUUUCUGACCCCAAUCUAGCUCCUCACUGCUUCCAUCCUACUUUUGACACAAAAAAAAAAAAAAAAAAAAAAAAGUCUAGUCAAGAACUUCAGAAUAUGCACUAGUGUUGAGUUGAGAAUUGAGAGGAAGUUUGAGGCUUGGUUUGAAAAAAACCUGAAUUGCAUGAGGUAUAUAUAUAGAGGCCUAGAGCCUUGGAAUUGCAUAUAUAUAGUUUUCUUCAAGUAGGAAUCCUUAGAAAGCUGUAAGAAUUUGCUUCUAGAGUUGGUGUUUGGAUUGUAAUCUAUACUAUAGUACCUUAAUGUGUCUCACAGAGAAUAGAAUCUCAAGUUGCAUAAACAUUUUGAGGUUUGCAUCUUAUGACGGAAAGUGAAAGAAUUAAUAGAUGAUAACAGUCUCCUUCCUUUACUAGAAGAUUAUGAUGGCAAAAGGAUACAAGGCUCGUGGAUUCCCUUAGAUUGUCAAAAUCAAAGAAAUUCUUGCUUUGCUGUUAUUUUGAAGUUUCAAAAGUAGAUAGCUUGUAUAGCGCCACCAAAUUUAGGGCUUCUUUAUUGCAAAAAUUGACUAUGACAAGUGAUCAUAAAGAAAAAUCAAAAUCAGUCAAAACCACUUUCAGGGAGAUUCUAAAUUUCAAUCCUUUUGGUUAUUAAAAAUGUUAAAUUAUAAAUACAAAAGCAAAUGAGAAAAUCAACCAAACAGACUGUCUAAAAUAUCAGAACCUAAAAUCACUGGAUGAAAUAAUCAAAUGACAACAAAUAUUAGCUUUUUGUACUAAAGGCCUCAGAUCAGCAGGUACAGUCAAAAUAUGGACAAUUAUGCUAUGACUUUGCACGUGUAAUUUGUACAGCAUAUAUAGGCAUGCCCUAAAAUGACUUUAAUUCUGAAAUCAAAUUAAUAAGAAACUGCAAAAUAUUACAAAAUUUUGAGUCAUGAAUUCCAAAUAACUGAAAAAGAAGAAUGAACAGAAUCUUCAAGCAAGUGAAGAUAAAUGCAUCCAUUUUAAUUAAAAGACAUUGCCUUCUUCUUGACCGCUGGUCAUGAUAUGUACCAGACCUUGCUUCAACUUAACAUUAAUUAGACUUCUCCAGAUGAACAGAACCAAAUCCUUUGACCGUGUAGAGAGAAUCCAUGUAAAUCAUAUCCUUUUGGGCUUGCUAAGUAUGACUACUUUGCCUUUUAUUUCUUUUAAGCAGAUGAACUAUACAUUGUAUUGCAUCUAAGACCACUGAUAAAAAAGGGAGAAAUAAAUUGUUCAGCAAAAGUUGAUUCCCUUUGGUUUUUUCUUUUGGAAGAAAGGGAUUCUUGGCCACCCACCCAAUUGACGGUACAGCAUAGCAUCAUAACAUGGACUAAACCACAAUGGUAUGGUUCGGAAAUCCGUACAAAGGCAGAAAAAAGUGCCAAGAAGGGGUAGUAAUAGCAGAUUCCCCCCUUGUGAGAGAUAUAUUUCGAGUCUAAGCCAAAAGAGAUGCACUUUCUAGAUUUUCUCCACAUGAUAAAUCCAUCAAAUAAUGUCUACAUCCUUUACGUUUUCAUCCUCGGAACUAUUCUGUUUUAAACACUUCAUACUGAAAAAUUAUCCAAAAUAGUUGUUAAUUUUAUCCAUAAAAGUGAGCAAGAACGUAUAUGCUUUCACUAAAUUUUGUGUGGGUUUCAUGGAUUUUGAUGUCAAUUUUCAGGACAUCGUCCAUAUAGUUUCAUUAUACAUAUUUUGAGAUAAAUAUGAAGCGUUCAAAAUAAAGAUUGGAAGUGUAAAGUGACACUAAAUGGUUAUCAAAAAUACUGCCAAGAUGUCAGGAAUGAAAAACGUUUAAGUGUAAAAUGUGCAAUCUUCUAAAACAUAAUAGAUUUAAAAGUGAAAUUCAUUAGUUUCUUUACUUCUAUAUUCACCAACAGGUUGUUGACUAGCCACCCAAGAGAAUAAAAGGUAGUUGUCUGCCCUACGGGGUAGUCUAGUGGUAAGCGAACUCUUAAGAACUCAUUUGAUUCUGGGUUCGAAUCUUACCCUGAUCUUAAACUCCCGUGACUCGCCCGGAUGCGUUGCGUGAAGCCAUGGAGUACUCCUCCGGUCUGAUGUGUCGGUUCGGAUCCUAAGUGAUUCAAGUCGAGGCAUGUUCCGAAUUACCAAAAAAAAAAAAAAGUAGUUGCCUACCUCUUUCCAAACCAAAAAAAAAAAAGAAAAAUAGCCAGUUAAGAUAUGAGAGAGAAGUAUUGGGAGACAUAGGGAAUGAAGGCUAGAUACCGCUAUAUCCUCCAAGCUGCUUGUAAAGGUGCUAAUUAAUUACUUCUUGAAGAUGAAAAAUCACGUCUUCAGUUAGUCUUUAUUCUUGUAAGCAGCCAUAAAAAUCAAAUCAAAGCCGACCAUAAUGCUAUAAACUUGACCAGUAUGAUGUAUAAUAUUUGCAUAAUAAGCAACUUGUAAAGGUGUUAAUUCAUUAGUUCUCAAAGAUGAAAAAUCACGCCUUUAGUCCCUAUUCUUACUAAGCAGCGCGCUGUAAAGAUCAAAUUAAACCCGACACUUAAUGCUAUAAAAUUGAACGGUAUGAUGUAUAAUAUUUGCAUGUUUCUCAGUACUACUUAAUAUAUGAUAAAAAUAAAUAUGAAAAAGAAUGUUAUUUAUCUUGAAUAUAGAAUACAAAAAUUUUUGGGAGUCCGACUAACAAGCUUCUAGUAUAUAUCUAACAAUCUACAUUGGAAAAGUUGUUUGACAUACAAUUUUUCUUCGGAGUCAAUAUAAGCUCGUUAAUUCCGUGUUCUAAUCGUGCAAUUAACUAAUUACACUCUCUGAACAGGUUUUUAAGGUUUCGAUUUGUUAGUCGACCCAAUUAAGGUAGACAAGGGAUAUUUGUACGUUAAUACUUUAGCGUCCAUGUUAAUACUUUAGUGUCCACAUUUAGUCUUUUGUGGGUGUAUUUAUUGCGUUACUUCAUAAUGUUUAUGGUCCAAUCUCCACUGAUAAUUUUUUUGGUUGACAAGAGAACUUGCAGCUGCUACUGGAGAGUGCGCAUUAGAUAAACCCUUCCCCGUGCAAUAGCCCGCCAUAUGCAUGAGGUCAUAUGCAUUAUAUUUUCACUCAUUUUUCCAAGAGUAGAAUGAGAAUGAAUAUUAGAAGAAGAUCUUCCACUAAAUUAUUGACUACUCCAUUCUCCAUUGGGGUGAUAGUUCAGUAGUUGAUUGAUGCCGGCUCUAUACCGUAGAAGAAGUCCAAAAUCUAACAUUGAAAUGAAAAAAAAAAAAAUAACCAUCUCAAUCCGAGCUUAUGCCAACAUACUAACUGAGAUACUAAGUUGUAAACAUUAACAUACAGAAACACUUCUGCCUUUUUUUUUCCUGCCAAGUAUUGUCUCACUAUAUAUUGCUUAAAUUACCAAUUAGGUAUAGUUGCCUUCAAUGUAGUAAGUCAACAAUAAGUCAAACUAAUCUGGCAACACAAAAAAAUAAAAUACAAGCUGCAGAUUAAUUUAGUUUAAUAUCCAAUAUCACUACUUUGCCAUUCCACUUGAAACUAAAGAACCUCAUUGAGUUUACUUCUCUAAUAAAGCAAAAAGUAUGAGAGAAAUAAAGUGCCACCUAUAUAUAGGCCACCCCCCCCCCCCCAAAAACAAAAAAAAAGAAAACCCCACAAACAAAAAUUUUGGUUAGAUCACCUUUAGUCACUAAAUUAUUUAAGGAUCUAAUUUUGUGUACGGAACUUCUUUUCUUCUUCGUUGUCUCAGUUGGAUCUUACAAUAGUCAUUGCACGUAAUUGUUGCCAUUUUUCGAGAAAAUGCAAUUACGAAACUAUUUCAGAGUUUGAUUUCACCUAUUAAUUAAAUUUGUCUUCUUUUUCUCUCUUAAUCUUUUUUUUUUUUUUUUUGGUGUCCUUAUACACAUAGAAUUCUUAAUGUACGUGUAUUAGGGAUUUCUAGAAAACUGAAGGAAAUGCAUGCCCAUGAUAUGACAGUAUGCAAGGGACAUCAACUCAGUUAACUUAAGAAAUGACCAAUGAAGGAUGUUUAAGAGUUCAAUGAGUAAACUGACCCAAAAAAUAAGUAAAUAAAUAAGAAGGUCUGCAGGAAAAAGCAAAAUUUUGACAUUGUUUGGUGACAUAUUUUGACUUCCACUUGAUAAACCAUACAAAAACAAAGAUACUGCAAUACAAAAGUAUCUGGCACCCUUAGUACAUCAAAAUCAAAAGGUAGAGACAUAGAAUAUCUAACUCACAGAUUAGAAUACAAAAAAACACCUGUAGGAGUUUAUACUAAUCCAAGAUUCUUAGUGGCUUUCUUCAGAAGGAAAAAAAAAAAAAAAGAACCGAGGCUAAUUCAUUAGAUGUUUCAGCGCAUCUGAUUAAUCUCACAUCCAUAUAGCGUUGGCCUUGAUAAGCAGUGGCUUCAACUUGCCCUGAACAUUGAGGCUCAUAACCUCAUCAGAACCACCAACAAAAAGCUUCCCUAUGAAAACAGCAGGAACACUUGGAUGGCAUCCUAAUGCUAGCAACGCAUUCUCGAUUUCCUGUCCUUUCGGAUGUUGAUCAAGCUCAUAAACCGUAGGAUUCGCCCCGAAGCUGCUUAACAACAUCUUUAUAGCAUGGGAAAUGCAGCAGUUGCUCUUGCUGAAGAUCACCACUGGCUUUUCUGACCCCAAUCUCCUCACUGCUUCCAUCCUAAUAUUGGGAAGUGAUCUUGGGAUUGAAAAUUUGCACUAGUACGUAGUAUUUGAUUUGAGGGGAAUUUUAAGGCUUGCUUUGAGGAAAAUAUUGAAGUGCAUGCAGGUAUAUAUAGAAGGCUACCUGAGAAUGAUUGCAGUAAUUUUCUCAAGGAAAGACUAAAAGGGUUCUAAGAUCUUGUUACAAAAGUUGAUGCCUGGAGCAUAUCAGCAACUAUACGGAAAAAAUUGACAGGUCCUGAGGCUAUGAAUCCUCUGUUACACACUAAUGUAAAAUACCUAUGCUACACCUAUAAAUCCUCUAUUAUACAUUAAAGUAUAAGACUUAUGUUACAUAUUUUGAAUCAUUGAUACGUGUACUUUUCAAGAGUUCAACUUAACUAGAAACAUAAUGAUAAUAAUUCAAAAGGAACAGACGUCAAUACAUCAAAGGGCAUAAAAUGAAUGUUGCAUACUAUGGUGCACCAGAAAACCCGUUUCCAUCUCACGACGCAUAGAAUCUCAACUUGCUUGAAGAUUCUGCAAUGGAAAGUUGUAGUGGAUGAUAACAGUCUUUUGCCUUUACUGAUUCUGAGUGCGGAAUGGUACACGGCCCAUGGUUUCGAUAGACAAGUCAAAAUCAGAAAAAUAUUGAUUAUUCUUUCUCUAAUCAUGUACUGAAUUUUCCACGAUUGACAGGUUUCAUAAUAUGCCCCCUAACUGUCCAAUUUAACAUGUUUUCACAAUUAUUGUACAAAAUUCUAUGAUCCAAAUUUACAAAAUUAAUCCAAAUCCUAGUUACUAUUUCUAUUCCUUUCAGUAUGAUCGGGCAGUGGCAUAUUUUGGCAAGUCAAUAACGAUUAAGAUUAAUCCAGAUCCUAUGUAGUUCAAAAAAAAAUGAAAUGGUAGUUUUUUUUUUUUUAUCUAAUUCAAUAACGAUGAUAAAAUUCAAUAACGAUCAUAUUGUUUGAUCUAAUUUGCAUACUGAUUGGACUUCUCCAAAUGAACAGAACAUGAUACCUUUUGCCUGUGGGCAUCCAAAUGAAUUUGUUAAUGUUGCUGACAAAUGAAUUUGUUAAUUAUUUUCUGUAUUUUAUUUAAAUAGGUUACUUUUACUGAUAUAUCUUGGACCAAUAAUUCCAAAUGAAAAUUGGAUUCAUGUAACGAGAGAAAGAUUUCUCAUUCCGUAGCCGGGAAGAUAUGUAGCUAUUCUACAUCUGAACCAAAUUCUUUAUGAGAUUAUCUUUCUAGCUGCUCUAGAACAAUUAGAAGAUUCUGUAGAAGAAAUAUGAGGUUCUGUAAGGGAUACAAAUAGAAGGAAAUUUAUAAAACAUUCCAAGGAAAAAAUCUGCCACUUAAACUUUACUUCAAACUUAUGAAGUUAAAGAAAUUUGUAGAGAAUAUCAAAACAGUUUUAAGAAAAAAAAAAAAAAAAAAAGAGGUUCCGAGAAAGUAAAAAGAAGAUCUUAAUUUAUACAAGUUACUAAUUUUAAAAAAGAAUCAAUUUGAUUGAGCAAAAGAAGUAUUUUUCUCUGUUUGGAUCAGUUAUUUUUGGGGUGUUUUUGAAAUAUUUUACUGUAGUAAUAUAGGUGAAAAACUUUUACUGUAACUAUUUUUGGAAGUAUUUUUUAAAUAUUUUACUGUAGAUGUAUUAUUCUAACAUUGUAUUUGAAAAAUUUAUUUUUCAAAAAAUGACCAAUACAAACGCAGAGGUUAUUUUUUGAUCCAGAUGACGACUGACCCCUCAAUAAAAAGAGGAGCCUCUCACCACCCAAAAGAAUUAUAUCAUAAUCUAAACAAGACUUUUGACUAAAUCAAAUAACAGGCAUGUUACAUGGAUCCGUACAAAAGGGAGGAGAAGGAACCAAGAAGUGCUCAAGCAGAUUCUCCAUUUCUGAGCAAAGGCCAAGAGAGAUGCCUUUCUUGAUUUUCUCCACAUGAUGAAUGGACUAAGUGAUGUGGAUGAUUCAAUCAUGCAUAUUUAUCCAUCAAAUAUUCCUUGGAAAAAAGAUGGCAUGCACUUAAUGACGCUAAGGGUCGGUUUGGUAUCCUCUUUUUGUAGUAAUUUAAUUUAAUUAAUGGGCUAGUAAUUCUCUUUCUAAUAAAAUUCUGACUACUAGAAGAGAAUCAUAUGUAGCUGCGUACUUCCUUCAUCAAAAAGCAAAGAACAUGAUUUAGGACACAGUUACAUCUUUAAGUUGAUGUUUUUUUUUUAUCUUAAAUUAAUGUUGUACACACCGAAAACGUAAUAAAUUGUUUAUAUCAUGUAGGUGUAGUGAUACGAACCUGACUCUCCAAACUCCCGCUUUUCAAAGAGACAAUUUGACUAGGCAGUGAAAAGAUCUAUCUUGAUCAAGUUAUGGAUAAUAUUGGGAUGGAAAAUAGGGUAGGCCGGUCACAAUUUAGGUGAAUACCAAACUGAUAUGACACUCAAAAAUCCUCACUUGAGAUGAACCAAAAUUUGAAAGACAAGAGUUUCCACUUAAACUCGAAGAAAGAACGAAAUUUCAAGCUUCAUUCAUUUGAAUCGACCGUCUAUUACAAUGAUGUUUAAAACCUUAUAUAGACAAAACCCUAACCUAAACCGAAAUCCAAAUCGAACUUGGACUGAUUUCACUUAUUUAAUAACUAAACUAUUAGAUUCAACUAAGCCCAUUAAGUUCAAAACUUAACACAAGAUUGGCCAUUUUAUUGACUAAAUACAUCUAACCAAAUUACUCAAUAAAAAAAUCAAACAAUAAUUAAUUAAAACAAACAAAAUCGGAAAAAUCUCAAAAAGAAAUUAAUGACACAAAAAUCGCAGACGGAUUGCACAUAAAUUCCACUGGCUAAGUGGACCGGUUUGUGGGCAGUAAUUUAAUCUUCUUUCUCGAGCUAAGUCAACGUCUUCCAAGUUUCUUGCUUGAACCUCCUUGCGUUCGAAUUAAAUACGUGGAAGUUUGAAAAGGUUUCUUAAUCCGUCCUGCACAAGCUUUAAUGUCCAUAUCAUGUAGACUAUAUAUAUGUUUAUGUGAGUUUUUCUAAUGAGUGUCUAUUAAACAUUUGUUAACAUAGCUAAACGCCAACUAACCUAUCAUGCAUAUAAACAUACUAACAAUUAUCAUCACUUUUCUUUACCUUUAUAUACUUUCCCUAAUUAAUCUUACCUUUCCAAAGAUCUAACACCUAAAAUACGUCUUCACCAUUGUUCAUUGAACAUCCAUUAGACAAACCCUGCGUGUAUAUCACAAGACAGACUACUACAAUUCCAAUCCACUUUCAAAUUAAUUUGCAGUAAAUUUCUCCAAUCAUUUCAAUGUCUUGUAUAUCCUCCAAUUCUCGUGUUGCUUCUUGACCAUCGAACAUCUCAUGAUGCCCGUGCAGCUAUACCUUUUUAAUUUUUUUUUUUUAUGAAUACACACGAAUUACAUUCGAGCAACACUGCAAGUAAAUCCACACAAAUUGUGCGUACAAUAAACCAUAUAUGUGGGAACCACUGAGCUAAAGCAUAACCAUAAUUGUGCGUGCCCCACCACCUCUCCUGGUGAGAUGGGAAGUCAGGGGUUUAACCCUUGCCUCCCAUCAAAUUGUCUGGCCCUCAUGGACAACUCGAUUGGUCUUAACAAGCCUCCUUAGGAGUUGGUGUCCAAUGCCCACAAGGGUCCGAAUCCUGUGAUUAUCGUGUUCGAGGGGAUGGGGCCUCUCCUCCCUAACUCGAGUGGGAUUAGUCGGGCCUCGUAAGGAUUGACCCAACACCCACUCCGUCAGCAAAAAAAAAAGAAAAAAAAAACCAUAUAUGUGGAAUAAGUAAUACACAUAUCUUUAACAUCAGAAGCACCUUUAGAGUGACCUCUUAACCAGCUCGAGUAAGGGUGCUGGUUGACGUAACAUUCUUACUUGGUUACUGAUUUUCAAGGUAUCCUAACAUAAAAGGUCCCUCAAGUCAUGGAUCAAAUUUUCUUACUUUACAAUACACCUAAAUUUUCUUCAAUUGUUCUCGAUGCAUCAAUUUUUUUCAAUGUGGUAAAUUAAUCGAUUAAGUUCGCCCAAAUUGAAUAUGAUUUUUAAUGGGGUAACAUGUUUCUGCAUCAAAAGAUAAAUUAACCGCCAAUAAUCGAUGACUUGUGGAUUGAGGAGGGAAAAAAAUUUACUAGUGGAGAUAUCUGUCCAUAGAUCAUUAAUUUUAUAAGGCCCAUAAAUGUCCCACUAUUUCUAUGUGUGAAAAUAUAAUUUUUUUUCUUUUUUAAGCAAAUGAUGGAUUUUAAGGCUAUUUCAGUGCAACAUGUAUACCUAAGUUGUCAAAAUUCGUUCAAUUUGAGGUUGAUUGGUCGAUUGUAUCAUGAAUUCGGAGUUUUGCACCCAGUUCUUACUCCUGGACCUCAUCUGUUGUUUCCACAACUAGAGAAGCACUCAAUGGCAUUUCACACUAAUAUAAAUUAAGUUGAUUUUCUUCAUCACUAAAUUGGUUAUUUUUUUUAAAUAAAAAAAUUGAAGUAAAUUAAUCAUUGUCAACAAAUUAAAUUUGCACCAAUUCAACAAAUUUGCACCAAUUAUACAAAUGAGAAUUCCAAGAUUUGAGAUCUCCCCACUCGCACUAUACAAAAAAAAAAAAAGAACCUCUUCUUUUUCUUUUAUGCAUUCUACAGAAAUUAAUAAUAUGUUCAUAAGUCACCUCCCAGACCAUGAAUUUUCUUGAAUGCCAAAUUUUAAAAAUCCUACUAAUAUCUAUUUGGAGUUUCUUUAAUUUUACGUCCGUACACACCCAUACACACAAAACAAUAUGAAAUUGUAAACUCAACUCGGAAAAAAUCACAAAGCCCAGGUUCUUCAAGAACAUGUUGAAGUGUGAUCCAAUGAUAUGCUAAGGCCCAAACAAAAACUCAUAAAGUCAACAUAGCCCACGUAGUAUUUUCAACUUUUUUUUUUAAUCCACUUACUUCUCCCUACAUCCUUUCCACCCCUAUUCAGUAAAAUUUACAUGUAAAAUUAAAAAUUUCCUUUUUUUGAUUGGUUAAACUUUGACUGCUGAGCGAUCAAGUGAAGAAUAAGGGUUAAUACCACUUUGUCCCCUCAAACUUCGGACGAUUACCCACUUCAGUCUCUAAACUUUAAAAUGGGAUACUUAAGUCCCUAAACUUUUAAAAUGGGACACUUAAAUCCCUAAACCCUUAUAAAAUGGGACACUUCGACCACCAAUGGUAUUCAGGAUUUGUUAACAAUUUUCUUUAAGUAUGAGGUAUUUAUAAGUUUAGGGACUUAAAUGUCUCAUUUUGAAGUUUAGGGACUGAAGUGGGUAAUCAUUGAAAGUUUAGGGGGACAAAGUGGUAUUAACCCGAAGAAUAAAGGUUGGCAAGAAUGGUUUUUGGUUGGGAAGGGAGAGAAGCGGGAAAGAGCGAUCAAGUGAAGAAUAAAGCAGAAAAAAAGAAAUAUUAACAAAAAUCCAAAAACGGUUUCCGCUGCCGGGAUUCGAACCCGAAGUUUAACUUAACCCAAUUUGAUAAGUGCCACAGCGGAUGCACUCCCAGUUGUAUACGAGCCUCAGGUUAAUUUAUUUAAACUAAGUUCUGAAACUAAGUCCUCAUAUCCAUCUAAUAUUUCCUUUUUCCAAAAGUGAUCCUUUGAACCCCAAUUUCUAUUACCAAGUGUUUUUUUUUUUUUUGGGUUCCAUUCUACCUCUUCUUUAUCUUUUAUGCAUUCUGCAGAAAUUAAUACUAUGUUCAGAAGUUACUUCCCAAACCAUGAAUUUUCUUGAAUGCCAAAAUUUAAAAAUCCUACUAAUAUCUCUUUGGAGUUUCCUAAUUUUAAGCGCAUUCACUAAAAUUUACAUGUAAAAUUAGAAUUUUCCGAAUAAAUAACUUAUAUACAAUUAGAACUGUAACUCUACUACUAUGGGAACUCGAAAUAUAUAUAUAUAGCCUUUUUCCUUUUGGGAUUUCAAUAUGUCGUCAACGACUGACAUUGUUUAUAGCUAAAUUCGGGGUUCAAUAUAAAUACUAAUAAGAUUCAAAUAAAAUUUUCCCUACCCUUUUCCGACUUCUUAAAUUUUGCUGAAAAUAUUUAAAGAUUCAAAUAAAAUUGUCAAUAAAUGUGACAUCAAUGCAGACUUGCUCAAUGAAUUAAUGAAUGCUGCAUGUUUUAAUACAUGGGAUGAUUAAAUAAACUUAACGGCCAUUCUCUAGACAAGUUAGACAAAGAAAUGUGUUAGAAAAAUGCCCGAGGACAAAAUGUAAACUGCAAAGCUAUAUUCAAGACUCAAGAUUGAAGAGCCGAACCAAACAAUAACUGAACCAGUUCUUUCUCUAUUACACUUUAAAAUCUAAGGAAUUUGGAACAUUUUAAUAAAUUAGCAAAGCAAAAUAUAUAUAUAUAUAUAUAUAUAUAUAUAUAUAUAUAUAUUAGAGAAGAUAGAUUACCGAGGCUCAAUUCUUUAACCUCGCAGAAACAAGAUCAGGUGGCUGUGGACUUCUAACCAUGUGUUACCAUGACCACUACAACAUUGUUAAUUAACGUCCAAAUGAAAGUAACAUGACAUUAUCUAACUUUGAUGUGAAGUUACAAAACUGGACGAGACUCAAAACCAGUUCAAACUGAAAUUGAAUAAAACUGGCAGGAGUCCAUGCAAAAUCAACAUCCACGUUUAGGUAAAAAAAAACCGAAGCUGAAUUGUUUGGAUGGAAAAGGUUGUAGGUGAUUAUCACAUCCCAUAUAGCCUUGGCCUUGAUAAGCAUUAAUGGCUUUAACUUGCCCUGGACAUUGAGGCUCAUAAUUAACCUCAUUGGAACCACCAACAAAGAGCUUCCCUAUGAAAACAGCAGGAAGACUUGUAUGGGAUCCUAAUGCUAGCAAUGCAUUCUCGAUCUCCCUUCCUUUGGGAUGAUAAUCAAGCUCAUAAACAGUAGGAUUCGCCCCGAAACUGCAUAUCAACAUCUUAAUAGCAUGGGAUAUGCAGCAGUUGCUCUUGCUGAAUAUCACAACUGGCUUUUCUGACCCCAAUCUCCUCACUGCUUCCAUUCUGCUUUUGGGAAAAAUAAAAUAAAAAGUCGAGAGAAGUGAUCAAAGGCUUGAAAAUGUGCACUAAUCUUGCUUGAUCUGAUAGGAAUUGUAGGACUUGCUUUUAGAAAAAACUGGAGUGCAUGAAGGUGUAUAUGGAAUGCUGAAGAUGAAUGCAAUAAUUUUUUAACGAAAAGAUUAUAGGGAUGCAAAAUAUUGCUACAAAAUCUGAUGCCUGGAUCAAAUCAGCAGCUAUAUGAAAAAAGGUUGAUAUGUCCCGACUAGACAGAAUCUCAACUCGCUUGAAGAUUCUGAAGUUGGUUUUUUCAUGCAAAAAAAAAAAAAAAAAAGGAAAGUAGCAGAUGAUAACAGUCGUAUUUCGCCUUUUAUCACAUUGAUAUAUUUCCUAUACUAUUUAAGAAUAAGUUAUGUUUAAAGGGGGUUUGAAUUUCAACAGCAUGAAUAGGGGCUUUUGGAAAUGUGAAAUGUUGUAUAGUUUUUUUAGAAUUUUUGUUAUUGUUGAAGGCAACAUGUGUUUAGGUAUAUUUAUCAAAGUGCUCUUUUUGUACGUUUAAAACUUCGAUUUAUGGGAUAAUUUCAGAAACCUCCCCUGAGCUUUGUUAUAAUAUCACUCAACUCCUUUCAAGUUUUUAAAAUCUCACUUACCUCCCCUCAAGUCUUAAUCCAGAAUUUGAGUCAAUCAUCUAGUUAAUUUCUUGCCAAGCGAUAAAUGCAUCACACGACUAUAUUUUAGAUUAAAAGUGUGUUUAAUUAAAUCCUACGCCUCUCUCGAGUCGAUGGUCAUAAGAGUUCAAUUAAAUCCAUUAAAAUUCUCAGUAAUAUAGGUGUAUUACACAUAAUAUAACCUAUUCUCGUGAUUAGUCUACGUGUGUUUAUCUAUUUAUUGCACGGUUGUAUCUCCUUUCUCAAGAGAAAAAGAAGCUAUUGUUUAUCCAGUUGACUGACCCCCCUAGCCCCAAUAGCAAAAAGAAUCUCCCACCCAAAUCUAGAAACAGCGUAGAAUCCUUGACUAAACCAAACGAGGGGCAUGCCAUAAGGCUCAGCAUUUAGAAGGGAGAAGAAGGUACCAAGAAGGGCUCAAGCAGAUUCUCCACGAUCUUGAGACUCGCCCACCAUAUAUAGAUGCCUUUCUCCACAUGAUAAAUGGACUAAGUAAUUAUAUGCAAGGUACAAUCAUAUUUAUCCUUCAUAUCUCAUCAUAUAUUCCUUGGGAAGAAAAACAUUUAAUGACAACUAAGGGUCAGUUUGUACCUUUUUUUUUUUUGUGUUUUGUCGUUUUGCUGCGUUAAAGAAUCUAGGCUUCCAUUUCAAAAUCGAUUAGCACUAAGUGAAGGGAUUCAAGAUCUUCAUUAAUCAUUUUAUUGGUUAGUCUCCCAACCAAUAUGGAUUAUUUAAGCUUUAAUCAAACUGAAUUGCUCUUUUUGACGAACUCUUAAUAGCUUCCAACGCUAGUCCCUGUCAACUAUUAGCAAAAAUCUGCCAUGUCCAUUCGCCACACCGAAGGCAUAUAUCCUGUGAAAAACGACAUCAGAAAUGCAACGACAGCUUGCAUAUCUCAUCUUCUUUUCUUUUCUUUUUUUUUUUUUAAUUGUUCUUGUAAGCGAAGAGUAGGAAGAGAAUAAGGGAAUUAAAAACCUAAUAUUGCUAAGGGCUUUUGUAAUGGAUGCUCUAAGGGCACCGUUAACACAUCCAAUAUUCACCUAACCAACCAUAUAUAUAUAUAUAUAUAUAUAUAUAUAUAUAUAUAUAUAUAUAUAUAUAUAUAUAUAUAUAUAUAUACACACACACACAUAUAUACUAACAAUUAUUAUCUUCUCCUGCAUUUAUAUACUUUUCUUAUUUAAUUUUGUCUACCCUCUCUUGUAUUUAUUUAAUUUCCCUAAUUAAUUUUGUAAUUCCAAAAAUUAUAACACCUGAAAUAUAUUUUAACAAGUGCCCAUAGAACACCCGUUGGACAAAUCAUAUUUCUAAUUUCUGGAGUUACAACCUUAGCUAUGAGGCCAUUUGCAUCUCUCAUCUUAACUAUUCUAAAUGUGCAAAUGACCUCCAACAUUAAUUUGUGAACAUUACUAGAAGAGAAUCGCAUGUAGCUGCAUAAAUCCUUCAUGAAAAAGGAAAAAAUCUUAGGACACGAAGAUUAUCUUUAUCUGACAAGAUAGAGUACAAUAAAAAAAAAUUCUCCAUUCAAUUCAAAGUCUUGUAUAUUUUGGAAAUCAUGCGUUGUUUCUACAAUCAUCUAUAAGCGACCAUGAAUUAACGACUAUUGAAUAUUGUCUCAUGAUGCUGAGUAGUCGCACUUUUAUAAGCAACCACACCCAUUGGAUCAAUGCGAAUGGACUUACCCCUAAGUAUUAUUUUCUUUCUUAUUAACUAGUAAACUAUUUUCGAGUUACAUUCUAAGACACUUCGUCUGUAACCGACAAAUUACAGAUUCGAAUCAUCAAGGGAUAAGUAGAGAAUUAUUCUUGAUCCUCUCAAAAAAAUCUAUAAAAAAAAAAAAAAAAAAAGUUACAAUACCCCUUAGGAGCUUCAAUUUCCCCUGUUUUUUUUCAUCAAUUAUUCUCGUUGUAUAAAAUUUUGUUCAAUGCCAUACAACAAAUUAAGUUUGUCCAAAUCGAAUAUAAUUUUUUCAUCAGAUGACAUGCACUUGCUGCAUCAAAAGAUAAAUAGACCACCAAUGAAACCAACGAAUUUGUGGAUUUAAGAAGAAAAAUAUGCAUCAGAGUUACAUAUUUGUCCAUAAAUCAUUGGUCAUAUAGAGCUCGUAUUUGUCCUUUUAUUUUUUCGUGUGUGUCAAUACAUGUUUUCACCCCAAAUAUUUGAAUUAAUUCAUGCAAUUUUUUACUGUUUACCUGAGUUGUCAAAAUCCGGCUCAAUUAUUGAUGAAUUGAUGGAACUUUUGCUUUUUCUGUCUUUUUUUCGCCUUUUACUCUUUAAUUGGCUGCGCAGUAAAAAUCUAGUAACAUGGUUAAUAACUCAACCAUCAUUGAAACUUGAAUUUUAUUACCAACAAAGAAAAAAUUCUUGAAUUUACAACCUUUUCAUCUCAUGACUUCGAAUUGUCCUUUUUUUUUUUUUCUUAUAAUUAGAGACGUUAGAAUUACAAGUGCAACAACUCAUAAAAAUUGCUGAGAGGUCAAUAAAGGCCAGCACUUAGCAAUAAUGGUUUUUGGUUGGGAUCGGAGAUAAAAAAAAAAAAAAAAAAAAAAAAAAGGUUCACAGAAGCAAAAUUUCUUCUGCUGCCAGGAUUCGAACCCGGCUACAGCAGAUUUGCCCCUUGUUGCUUCCAAGAGUCGGUUUGACAUUAGCUAUUCUUUUCCGUGAAAAAAAUUUUUAUCUAGUGACUAAGAUUGAGACGUCUGGAUAUUAGAGAUUCUAAAUUUAAAUUCCUCCUUUCUUUUCCGUGCUUCUUGAAUUUCAUUCCUCCCAACUAGCCACCCAACAACAAAGAACCUGAUCUAGUUAGUUUGAUUAUGUAGCAGAUUAAAAGUAGGGGAGAAGAUAACUCGUAAAUUAGCUAAACUCAUUUCUUUUCCAUUUGCAUUUUGAAACUGAAGCCUAGUGAAACAGGAUAUAGUGGCAUGGGUGGUCUCCUAAUUAAUACUUCCUCCGUUCCAAUUAUUUUGUCAUGUUUCGAAAAUCUAAUUUAGUAAAAAAUAGUAAUUUGAUUGUAAUAUUUAUAUUUCUCUAUCUAAUUUUACCCGUAGAAAUUCAAAAUUUGAGUUUGAAUGAUAACAUGCAUAUAAUUAAAGAUAAGAAUUAUACUGGAAAAAAAUAUUAAAAAGUAUUUUGACUUUUUUAACAUAACAAAUAUUUUGAAAUAUUUCAAAAUAAAAAAUAUGAUACUUUCAAUGGGACAAAAGGAGCACGAGUUACCAUGAUAUAUAUGACCCACUAGACAUUUUUAUUAUUUCAUAAUGAGAGUACAAGAACGUAAUACAUAUAACUUUGAUGUGAUAUAACUCGACGAAGACUCGAAACGGGUUUAAACUAAAAUUUAAAAAAAAAAACUGGUAGGACUCCAUAUAUGCUAAAACGAGACAGAAGACCUAGGCUGAAUUGCUUAGAUGGUAAAUUCUACGUGUGUUUAUCACAUCCAUAUUGCCCUGGCCUUGAUAAGCAUUGGCUUCAACUUACCCUGGACAUUGAGGUCCAUAACCUCGUUGGAACCACCAACAAAUUGCUUCCCUAUGAAAACGGCAGGUACACUUGGGUAGCAUCCUAAUGCUACCAAUGCAUUCUCCAUUUCCGUUCCUACUGGAUGUUGAUCAAGCUCAUAAACAGUAGGAUUCGCCCCGAAACCGCAUAUCAGCAUCUUAAUAGCGUGGGAAAUGCCGCAGUUGCUCUUGCUGAAGAUCACCACUGGCUUUUCUGACCCCAAUCGCAUCACUAUAUCCAUUCUACUUCUGGCAAAAAUGUGAAAUCAAGAGCUAUGUAUGAAUGUGCUCCAGCAAUUGAGUUAGUUGAUAGGAAGUUAUAAGGCUUGCUUUGGGUGAAAACCUGAAGCGCAUGAAGGUAUAUAUAUAUAGAGGGCUGGCUGAGAAUGACUGGUUGCAAUAUCUCUUUUUUGGAUAACAACAAAAGGGCUAUAAGAUUACUGUUGCAAAUUUGAUGCUUUGGGGGCCGGGUCACAUCAACAGCAAUAUGAUAAAGGAUUGAUAUGAAUCUCAAGCUGCAUUAGCAUUCUGGCACUGGUUUUUCAUGCAGAAAAAGGAAAGUAGUCGACGAUAACAAUCUUUUUGCCUUUCCAUGAUGCUUAGUGCAUGCGGAUACUACUGCUCAUGGAAUCGAUGCGGGAGCGGGGCAUGCACGUACAGUUGUGUUGUAUUUGGUUUUGUCCAGUUAUUAUACAUGUUAUGAUUAAUUAUUGUUGUACAGCCACAUAAUUUUAUUUAUUGUACCAAUUAUGUAUGAAAAAUUUAAAUUACAGUAUAUCAAAAUUUUCACGAAUACAACAAUAUAAUGCUAUUAUAUGUAUAUACCAAACAAUGUAACAUGUAUAAUAAUCGCAAGAAUCGCAUGAAACCAAAUAAUAUUUCGUUUGCAUCACAAACACAUUUUCCAAUUCACCUUUUUAUAUUCUCAACUACUUUUUAUCUCACAUACAUCACAUCAUAAAAAGUGCUACAGUAAUUAUUCUAAAUAAUACUCUAUCCAAACACACUCAAUUUUUUGUUUUAAGUUUUUUGUCCCAAAAUAUUACGAAAGAAAAUGAUAAUUAUAUGCAAAGACGGGCACACAAUGGCAUUACUGAAGUUAAAGUUCAGCCCAAUAAGGUAAAAUUAGUUGCAGAGUUAGGACCUAAUGUUAGAUAGGGCAAUUACUUUGAUGCAUAAUGAUGCGGUACAAUUAAGGCAAAAUUUUUUGUUGAAAAACUUUAAUAACUAGUAUGACAAUGGUGUGAAAUUUGUUAAAAUUGUAUAGUGUUUCACAAUAAUAACAAUUAGAUGAGAAUUAUUUUUUCAUACAAUUAAUAGACAACAAAAUCUUUAUGUACCAAAAGUUUUAAAUUUUAUUUUCUGUCUGCUGAAUUCUCAACUAGUACGUACUUGGCUUCAUUUCAAGCAUUCCAUUAUUCAUAAAUUAAGUGAUAAUUGUAGAUUUCAAGAACUCAAAGGGGCAAAGUAAUUAUGAAAUAUAAGAAAAUUUUAAAAAAUUUUUAGGGGAUGCAAUUAUAUGACAAAAUUAAAAUUUUAAAAUAUUUCCAAGCCUAUUUCAAAAUACUUCAAAGUUGAGGUGAAGCAAUUGCCAACCUUCACUUGAAUGUGGCUCUACCACGGGCUAAAAUGACAAAAUAUUAAAAUAGGAACAAUUGUAAUGUAAUUUCCAAACCAAGCAUUGAGUUCCCUAAAGCCAAAGCCUUUCCUCGACAAUGUUGAACUCAAAAUUAUAAGGACAGGGAGAUUAGCAAUACUCUCAAAUUAAUAUGAUAUGGAAAGACUAAUUUACAUACACAAAAUUAUGAGUGAAAAAAAUUAUAAAAUCUACACUACAUUACUAUCAAGCACUGAAAUUAAGACCCACAACGCUCACUCUUCUCAAACAAAUACAAUAACAAGACACUUUACUUAUAAUUCAUGGGCGAUAAACAAGAAACAACCAUGCACCACAAGAAAUUACCCAAAUAUAGUACUAUUGAAACUACUAGAAAUAAUUGACUUGACCCAAAACCUACUAAUAAAAAAAUUUGAAUUUUAUAAUAUAAUUAGACUUGUUUUAAUAUGCGAAUAGGCAAUAUGAAUUUUACAAAUCUGGCCAGAAAUAUUAAAACAAUUUUUCUAAAACAUCCCUCUUAAUAAAAAGAGAAAAUAUGUUAUUAUUUACCUAAAUGAAUCAUCCCUCAACCAAUAUAAGGAAUCUCCCCCUUCAACAGAAAUAAUAAUGAUGAUGAUAAUAAUAACCAGAUAAUUCCUUCUUUUUUUUUUUUUUGUGGACGAGUUAAAAUUUGUUCCAAAGUGGCAAACUGUAUGAUAAAGCUGAUCCAGAAAAUGACCUACAAUAGAACAAGCUAAUUCUCCACCCAUCCAUUUCAAGAAACAGCACACAAUCUUCGGGUAAAUCAUUAACCAUGAAUGAUGAGCACCUAAUUGAUCCGUGCAAAAAGGACGAAGAAGGUAUCAAGAUUAAUGGCUCCAAACUGUAGCAGAUUCUCCCUUUUAAGCAAUUUUCUUCUUUAUAGCUAAGAAUAUGCUUUCUUGAUUUUCUCCACAUGAUCAUAUUGUCUUUGCCCUCUUAUCAUAUAUUCCUUGAUCAUACAUGUAGAUGCUUAAUGGAGCUAAAGGUCGGUUCUGUAAGCUUUUUGGAAAUUAGAUUAAAGGGCUGAGGAUGAAGCCCUCAUGCUGUCAUGCAUAAGGUACAAAUCUUAAUAUUUUGAUUUUGAGCAUCUUAAAGUUGAUCAAAUCUGUUCUUAAGAACUAAACAAGGAGAAGAAUGAAAUGGGGAAAAAACAAAGAUUAAUUUUUAAUACAUUAUUGUCAGUGUAAUGAUUUAUUUUAUAUUAACAGAUUUAGAUGCAACUCUUUAUCGAAUUUGAAAUCUCCCUUUUGCAAACUCUAUCAUGCAUCCACGUUUUUGUAAAAAAGCUUUUACAAUGACAGUAAAAGAAAAAACAAUUCAUAACAAAAUGCUUGCAUUGCAAAUUGAAGCCUAUUCUCAAACAAGAAAAAAAAAAAAAAAAAAAAAAAGUUCCUUGACGGUAUAUGAUAUCCACUGUCUUGUGAUUGAACUCUUAUAUAUGAAUUUUCCACCUUGUUAAACAGUUAACCUUGAGACCCGUAAAAGAUAGGUAUAGUGUAGAUUUAAAUUCAUGUUCACUAUUGGAACAAAAUCCACGUUGACCCCAAUACCUACAUUAACCAUAUGAUCACGAAAUUUUUAAUUCGACUCUCAAACUCUCCAUUUUAUUUUGUUUUUUUUUUUAAGGCUUGAAAUCUCCCUAGAUUGAAUUAAAAACAAACAAAUAUAUGGAUAUUGAGUCUUCGAGUGCUCUUGUUAAUGCUAAUGUUGAUAUGGAAUCUGGUGUCCUGAGCAAAAUUGUGGUUAAUAUCUCUCAUUCUAUAAAUAUUUCAGUUGACGAUCAUGUGAAUCAUGUUCAAUCUCCUCCUUUGCUCCAUGAUGUAUAGUCUUAUGGUUUUGAUUGAUACUGGGUUGGGAUCAAAUAUUUCUGAUGCAUCUCUCGUGUAGGUUAGGUCUGAUGAGGGUGCUUGCAGUAACUCUCAGGUGGAUCCUUUUUUGUUGACUAAUGAUUUAUGGCAAAUGAAUCUGGUUGGUAAUUAUUCCAGCAUUUCACAAAGUGCCAAUAAUGAUAACAAUGAAGAAGAUCAUUAUUCACAAAAUGAAAGGGAUGAAGCCCUUAGUGAAAAUUAGUUUAUCCCAAUAAUUUCAAAGAAGGUCAAGGGACAGAAGGGAACAUUCAGAGUCUAGCUAGCAAGGCGAUGCAAACACAACAAAAGUUUAGGAUUAAUCUUCUAUACACUAACAGUGUAUACACUUUCACUAUUAGAUGCAUGACACAUAAUUCGAAUUUGAAUUUGAAACUCAAAUAUUGUAUAUGUGUCAUAUAUCCAAUCGUGAUAGUGUAUACACUGUCAGUGUAUAUAAAUUUAUUCAAAAAUUUAAAUCAAAAACUCAAACCAAUCCAUUAUACUACAAACGUGGAGCGUGUUGAGAUUAUUUAUUAUUAAAAUUUGUCAAGUUUACAUUUAGUCAAACUCGGGGGUACGUAUAAACCUAAUUUUUUAUGAGAAAAAUAAUAUAAAUAAUCCCCCCAACCCCCCCCCCCCCCCCCCCCCCCCCCCCCACAAAAGAAAAGGUAUUUGAUUACCACUAUUGCAACUUAGACACAUAACAUUUAUCCUCUUGGAACUUUAGCCUAUCACAAGGCUGGCAUCGUUCAUAACUAAAAUGGUUAUUAAUUAUUUAACCUUUCCCAAAAAAAGUGCUUGAUUUUUAAACUUUCUCUACAAAUCAGCUUUGGAAAAAUGUGCACCACUUGUAGCAAUGUGCUUUUCUCACCAAUUCCACAAAUAAGUGGAGCCCAAAGUUUUCAUUUUUCCUUUUUUUUUUUGGGUUCCAUUCUUGACCUUUAGUGACCAAAAAAGGUGUAUGGGGCGGAGGGAUUCACAGCAAUUAAGAGUUGAAAAUGGCUGGAGUUUAUUAGUGGACUUAGUAUCUCUAAAGAGGAAACUGGAAUUGACUGUUCAAUUGACAGCAAUAAGAGCUGAACUUGAUGUAUCAUUGCUAGGGAAAAAUAUGCCCUAUCCUUUCAGGUUUUAAGUAACCAUUUCUCUCAAAUAGCAAAAAUAUGAGAACAUAACUUAUAACUAAACCAUUUCUUCUCCAUGACACUGUAAAUCUAAAGAACUUGGUAAAGUUUAAUCAAUUAAUUAGCAAAGCAAAAGUACGAGAGAAGAUAAAAAUUGGCUGAACUCAAUUCUUUUCCAUUGUCACUUUAGAACUAAAACGUCACAGAAACAAGGAUCGAUCAAGUGGCAUGGACUCCUAAAUAUGAGUUACCAUGACCACUAUAACAUUUUAAAGACUCAAAACCGGUUAAUACUGAAACUUAACAAGACUGGUAGGAGUGCAUGCUAAACCUACAUUUGCCUUUAGAUGGCUUUCUUCAAUUAAAAGACAAAACAAGAAAGAAAAGUUUCAGUUCGAUGGUAAAUUCUAUAUGUGACUUCUACAUCCAUAUUGCAUUGGCCUUGAUAAGCAGUGGCUUCAACUUGCCCUGAACAUUUAGGUUCAUAACCUCAUCAGAACCACCAACAAGUAGUUUCCCUAUGAAAACAGCAGGAACAGUUGGAUGGCAUCCUAAUGCUAGCAAUGCAUUCUCAAUGUCCCUUCCUUCUGGAUAUUGAUCAAGCUCAUAAACCGUGGGAUUUGCCCCGAAGCUGCAUAUCAACAUGUGAAUAGCAUGGGAUAUGCAGCAGUUGCUCUUGCUGAAGAUCACCACUGGCUUUUCUGAACCCAAUCUCUUCACUAUAUCCAUUCUACUUUUGGCAAAAAUGUGAAGUCCUGGGCUAAAUGAUGUGCUCUAGUAUUUUACUUCAGAGGAAGUUUGAGGGCUUGCUUUGUGUGAAGGCCUGAAGUGCUUGAAGGUAUAUAUAGAGGGCUGGCUGGCUCCGGGCUAGUGAUGGAAGAUUUAUAACAUUUUUCUUCACAAAAUAGCAAAAGGGCCGCAAGAUUUUGCUUGGAAAGUUGAUGCGUUGGGGUUCAUAUCAGCAGGUACAUGAGAAAAGGAUUGAUGUGUAUUCCUUCCUAUAGAGUAUCACAAGUUGCAUUAGCAUCCUUGCAUCGGUUGCUCAUGCAGAAAAUGGAGAGCGGUAGGUGAUAGAUAAGCAAGUAAGAAUCUUUUGCCUUUACUUGAUGCUUUGUGCGGACGUAGUACGGCUCUUGGAUUCCAUACAUACGUCAAAUUUGGGGGAAAAUAUCAGUAUUGUACAAGGAUUUUUUUUUUUUAUUAUUUGAGCUUUCUUCGUUUUCUUCCUGGAGAGCAUGACCAAAAAUAAAUAUGAACCUUUUUUUUUUAAUGGUUCUGGUCACAACCAAGAGUCCUAGCAUGCCUCCAGGACCAUCGAUGGCUUAUAAAAGUACUCACAUAUAUUAUACACCAAGACAACCCUCUCACAUUUGUAGCAGAACUCGAACACAUUCAACUUUUUUGUGAAUAAUUAAUCCGCCCUUAAUAAUUGAUCCAAUGUAUAUUUCCACAUAGGAAUAUAAUAGUUGUAUGCAAUACAAGCACAUAUUAGCAUGAGUGAACUUGAAGUAGGACCAAGCACACAUUCAGCUCCUGUAAUUCUUCUUAUGAUACUCAAUUACUAUAAAUUCAUAUAUGUUUGGUAUGACUGCCAAUUCAAUUGUGUAAGUUGACAAAUUCAAUUUACCCCUAUGUUGUUCUCAAAAGCCAAAUCCCUUUUUGGGCAAUGUCAAUAGUACAAAAGUGGCCAGAGAAGAUGAAACGAGAGAUGGACUUCUCAGAACAUUAUUCCUUCAACUGUGUGGUGCAGGGGAGGGAUUCCCUAUCAGGUACUAAUGCUACCUUUAUUCUAUCUUUUUUAUACAGCUUAGACCACUGAUCAAAAGAGAAAAAAGAAACCAUUGUUUACCAGUUGAUUCAGCCCUCGAUUACUAACAAGAAGGAAUCCCCCUCUCCAAAAGAAACGAAAAAGAAAAUCAUGAUAAGAUCGGAUAAUUUGGCACCCAUCUUUUUCAAGAAACAGCAUACAUUCCUUAACCAAGCCAUUUAUGAGCAUGGUAUCGAAAUCCGUACAAAACGAAGAAGAAGGUACCGAGAAGGACUUUGGAGGAUAGCAGAUUCUCCAUAUUAUUGUUCUCUGUCACAAAAGAAGAUGCUUUCUCGAUUUUCUCCGCAUGACAAAUGGCUUAAACAACCUGGAUCCAACUAUGUUUUCUUUCCCAUCAUAUCAGAUACCCUUUGACAUUUAGGUUCACUUGGAGUUGCGGUGCAUUUACCCCAAAAAAAAAAAAAAAGCUUUUAAGCAGUAAAAAUAUUUUCGGUAACUAAUUUUUCGUAACUUAAGCUGCCCAAGUUUUGGUAACUUAAAAACAACUUUUGUUUGUUUGACCAAAAAAAAAAAAAAAAAAGCUUCUGUUGAAAAUAUUUGUGUAACAAGUGUUUCUUUAUAAUUCACCGUAACGAGACUUAAUGAAGCUAAUAAUCAGUUCUUGAACUUUUUGAAAUAAGGUUAAGGGGCCAAGGAUGGAGCUUUUAUCAAAUCCACCUCCACUCUGUUAAAAAAUUUUGUUAGACUACAAUUUUGACCUUAGGCAAUUUGGAUGAGUGCAACAGAUAUUCAUUUCCAAAUUUUCCAAAUAUAUAGACCAGCCACCAUAAAGAACACAAAUAAAUUAUCUCAAGCACCAGAUUUCACUUUAAACCCUCGAGCCUGAUAAAAUAUAAUAUAUGCUGAUAGUAUAUGUGAUAAUUUAUCUAAAUUUGAAUUUGAAAUCCAUUUUUUACAUAUAUUUUAUGUAUCUAACUGUAAUAUUACAUACAUUAUUGAUACUUACACAUAAGAUUUACUCAAAAAUAUAAAGUAACACAUUUGUUCUGUUAUUCCUGAGCAUCUUAAAAUUGAUCAAAUAAUUGUUUUCUUUUUUUUUUUUUUCUCUCAAGAACAAAAUCCGCAUUGUCGAGCCCCAGCAUCCAACACUUGACAUUCUAACAUCAGAAAGUCGCGUCACAGUGCCAACAGCAACUUGCAUUCUUAUCUUUGAUUUGAGAGUGCAAAUGACAGCAAUUCUCCUCGAGUUAGUAGAAGAGAAUCAACCCUUGAAUUGGCUCGAAUGGUUUCGGGUAGCCUAGUUAGGUCCCGAAGUCGUAUGUUCGAGUCACCUCUCUAUCGCUACUUGUACAUCCUUGAGAGGCGGGAUGCACCGAUGCAGGAAAAUUAGUCUGGUAAAAUUGGAAUACUCCCCGUAUUUUAAAAAAAAAAAAAAAAAAAAAGUAGAAGAGAAUCAAAAGAUGGUUGGUACCCUCCGUCAAGAAAUUAAAGACUGAAAUGGUGGAAGAAAAAGGUGACAAAACGUGGGACAUAAGAUUGUAUCUUAUAUUACAAGCUAGAAUACUACAGAUAAUUUCCACUUUUGAAGUUUGUUCUGCAAAAAAAUUCUCCUUUCAUUUCAAUGUCUUGCAUACUUUGGAAAUCUUGGAUCCUUUUUUACGAUCAAUCAUCCAUAAUCAACCACGAAGUAAAGCUUGAGGAAUUUAAGAAGAUGCUUGCUUUAUUUCGAAGUACAUUAAACAAUAGGAAAAAUACCUAUUUUCAUCCCUAAAUUUUGACUUAUGGACACAUUUCUUCCUCAAAUUUUUAACCAAUUUUAUCCUCAAAUGGGAAACUAAUUAGUAAUUUGAACGGAAAUUAGACACCUGACGAAUAUGAACCUCUUGACUGAAAAGCCUUGCAUGACUUAAAAUUAGCAAAAUAGGAUGGCUAUUUUUACUCUCCCAAUUUCAAUUUCCAUUCAAAUUGAUCAAUUUCUUGUUUGAGGAUGAAAUUGGCCAAAAAUUGAUAGUUCAGAUACUAAAUGUGUUAUGCCAGAAAGUUUGAGAACAAAAUGUAUCCAUGACCCAAGGUUUAGGGAUGACAACUGGCAUUUUCCCUUAAACAAUAUGUAUUUUGAAACAAUUUAUGCAUUUUGAUAUUGGCAUUUCCCCAAGUAAAUUACAGCAAAAGUUCAAGCAUGCAUCGCCUAAUAGAACAUACAACAAAUCAAAUGAAAUUGAGAAAAAUAUCGUAGGAGGAGGGAUGGGGUUGUGACCUUUAAAGCAGAUGAUUUGACCACACGAAGUGGAUUAUCUAAUGUUUCAACUCCAUAUGGCCAUAACCACAGGAAAUUAGAAAAUUUGGAGCAAAACCAACAGUAAUAGCCAAUGACAUGUAGCACAUUCCCGCACCAUAUUAAUUAACAUGAAACUAAUUAAAUUUCAAAAGUUUCAGGUAGAUAAAAAUUAACGGCAUCAAGAUCCAAAAAGGAAAAGAAUAAUCCAUGCACAGUGCUGUGCUAUCAAAAGUUUGCCUAUAAUUCUCUUUUAAGAUAUGAAAAACAGAAAUUUUCAAUCAAUCAGCCACUUCUUACAUCUCUAUAAAACAAACCACUAUCCCAAAUUGUUUAUCGCAUUUCAAAAUUUCAACUUUUUAAGAAUAAUAGCUUCAUGAUGAUGUCAAUGAAUUUGUACUCUCUAAAAUACAAAUUUUAAAUUUGAAUUUAGUAUGAAACAUGAACAAAGGUGGGAAUAACAUUAAAAAAAAAAAAAAAGGGGAUUAAAAGUAACUUUGACUAUACUAAAAUAACAAACAUUUUGAGACAUCCAUUUCUCAAAAUAGAAAGCAUAAUAUUUUCAAUGGACGGAGGAAGUAAUGAUUAACAAGAUGAGAUGUUUUAGCAAAGACACAAGCAAAGCUACUGAGCACACAUCGAAACGGACAUGGAAGUGCAGGUAAGCCACAGAAGAGGAUAAACUAGAUGAUGAAGAUCUCCACCAGCAGGCUGCAGCUCAUGCAUUUUCCAUCUGUUUACUGAAGCGUUUAUUCUGAAAACGCAGAUCUUAGAAGUUGCUACAGACCAUUCUCAGAAAUUUUGUUCCAAGGAUCUCAAAUUUCAUGACAGGCAAGAAAUUUAGUUGGAUCAGCGAAUAGAAACAAUUGACGGCAGUUCAGGUGAACUUAUCCAUUCACCUAUAAGAGCUUGAAACAAAGAUCAUCACAUUUAAAAACAGAACAGAUCAAAAAAUUCACGGAACUACAUGCACAAGACUUGUUGCAGAAAAAGAAGAUAUAUGUAUAGAAAUCAUUAAUCAUAUAAAUCUAUCAGCAGAGUCGAAAUAACUUACUUGAAAAAAAAAAUAAAGAAGGAAAAAGUAAAGGACAAGCAAUGUCAUGUCUAACAUUACAAUGUAAAAAGAGAACAAAAUUGUUGCUUCAGGCCCAAAUUUGAUACAUGUUUUCAGCAACAUCGACGUCACAAACACUACAUUUUGACAAAGGAUCAGUCAUCCCUAUUGAACUGAAGUUGGAAUGACGGAGUUAUAAUGCUCACCAAGCCCAAAUGCAUGCCUAUGGUAUGACAGCAUAAUACUUUUAUUGGAUAAGCCAUUUCCACCUACAAAUUUGUACUCAUUUCCCAUCUCCACAUCAGGGAAGGAUCCAGAAAAUAUCAUGAUAUGUUUCUUCAGGCAAUGAGUUAGAGCACCAAGUUCCAACUGUCCUCCCCAUGCUGCCGUUGAUUCCACUUCUGUACAAUAAUUCUCAAACUUCUCUGCAAGGGUAUCAGUGGAUUCUCCAUCUGCCAUAUUCUCAGAGAGGAAAAAGGGCAGGAAUUCAGAUGCAUGAUUCCUCAUAUAUGAUGCAACCAUUUGCCGAAGUUCCUGGAAAGUAUAAGGAGAGGUACCUCCAGCCUGGAGGGCGAGCUGAUCCUCAACAGCUCGGUAAAGACAAUGCCCAUCUGGCUUCAUUUCAUUAAUGACCAAUCCAAGUGGCUCAAGUUUCUUUUCUAACCUCUCAUUUUCUGCAACUCUCUCACUGACAAUGUUACACUGCUCUUCUCGUAUUCUUUGCUCUCUGGCUGCUUCUUGUUGAGCUCUUUUCUCACGCCUCUGAACACUUUUGCUUGGUUUUGAUUUCUCAGUUUGAUUGGUCACUGAAACUCCAGCAAUGGCCUUAACCAAAUUGUCAAGAUCUCCUUUCUCUUUCUUGUUGCUGCUGCCAUAACCUGCAGAAGCCAGUUCUUCUGCAUGUCUUUCUUUGAGUUUUGCUGAUAGAUUGGAUAUCUCUUGCUCCACUUCUUUCUUCUUAGCUUUCUGUUCAGCCUUGCUGCCCUUAGCAGCUGCCUUUUUCAAUCCCACUUCCUUAUUUUGUAAUUGGGAGAUCUCUUUCCUGCAGUAUACAUGAAUUAAAAUGCUUUUAUUCACGGUAACCAAUUCAAAACACGGUGGUUCUACUUAUCUGUUUCAAAAUAGGUUAUCAAUUACUAAAGCUUUAAUAUUCUUUUCUUUAAUUCAGGAAAUUGUUGUAGAAGUUCCCAAUGCAAAUCCAUUCACUUUCAAACUAUAUAUCAAUGGCAAUUAACAUAAAACAUCUAAGAAUGUAGAAUUGUUAGACAGAGAUAGAGAGAGAGAAGGGGGAGAGAUAACUGAAUCAACAGUGGUACACCAUAUUCAAAAUUAGAGAACUGAUAAAGUCUAGACAAACAUUACACCACCUAUGCCUAGAAAGCAUCUCCUCAAGGCUUUCUUCCUUCUUCACAGGUGUGUCUUCUAAAAUCUCCUCAGAAGGCUUACCCACCACCUCAGGUCCAUCCUCCAUUUGCAACUCUGAGAUUAAACAGGACAGCAAUAUUGGCAUGUCAGGCAAGCAUCACAUUUCGAUGACUAUAAUUUUGCAUUGUGAAAUGAAAGAGACAUUUGUCACUUGAUUAUUAUGAUGUAUCCUUCCUUCAUGUCUUAAAUAAGCUAAGGGCAAGGAAUGAAAUAUCACGAAAGAUCCAACAAGUAGUAGUAACUGGGUGUAAUGGCCCAUGUAUAUACUUCGUUCUUUUCAUCUGGACAUGCUCAAAUGGCAGUCAGGUUAACAGAGGUCAACGCGCCUUAAAUCAAGAAUUCUUAAACCUACAAGAACAUGCAACUAUUGCACAUUUAGUUCAUAGUCUAGACCAGGGGUGUGCAACGAAUUCGAAAUCGGUAAAUCGGAAGUUUGAAAUCGGAAGUUUUUGAAAUUUUGACAUGUGAAUUGCCGACCGAAUUCAAAUUCGAAUUGGCCAAUUCCGAUUUCGAAUUCGAUUCCGAAUUCAAUUCGGAAUUUACCGAAUUCGGAACUUCCGAAUUCGUCAAAUUCAAAAGCCUGUUUUCCAAUUUUUUUUUUAAUAACUUCUCGCAAGUCUGCAUCACAAUACAGGCAACACCGGCAGUGGCAAGCAGAAAUAUUAAAUGAUCAGUUUCAUAUUCUGAUGACUACAGAUUCUACGAAGGCUGGCUGUGCAGAUGCAUCUUUGGUUAAAUUAAAUCUAGCAGUUGGUUCAAAAUGGAACCAACACAAUCAAGUUGCUGCAAGGAAAUCAUCUUGAGAACGGCCAAAAGGUCGAUUGAGGAACAUGGCCAAUCGAACUCCACCCUGAGACCUGGGAAGGCAACAACUAACGGUGGCAAUAGCAGUGGCAGUAGCAGUAACUUAUACAGAGUCCAUUUAUUACAAUACUAAUACAACCAUUCCAAUCCACGAGAAUAAAAUAGCAGGCACAUAUGUUCCAAUAAACUGCAUUUGGGAAACUGAAAUAAGACCAAAACUACCAAAAUUGACUAAUUUUUAGAUCACCUUCUUAAAAGAUAUUGCUUUUAUUGAAAUUUCGCAACUACUAGAAUACUCACAAGCUGUUUGAUGAAAUGCCUAAGAAAAAUAAACUAGAAACACAAAUUAAUAACAAUUAUAGCAUAGCCCCUAUUAAGUAAAAUCACCAGCGUACAUCAAUUUGUCCUUGAAGAUGAAGGCUGAUGAUGGCUUGAAGAUGAAGACUGUCGGGCUGAUGAUGGCUAGCUUGAUGGCUUGAAGAUGAAGGACUAGAGUGAGAGAGAGUGAAGAUGAAACCUGAGAAAGUAGGCAAGCUGAAGGCUGAAGGCUCAUAGUUGAGCUCCUUCUCGACUGAAGACUGGUAGACUGGUGGCGGACUCGGCGGAGGAAGGAAGGUGAGAGUUGUGAGACUGGUAGACUAGCGGGGGAGGAAGGAAGGAAGACCGAAGACUGGAGCUUAAGUGCUUAACAGAUUAGGUUUUGCUUUUUUGUCCUUUUUGGAGGUUGUUUUGUAACUUUGUUAAUUGUUAGAUGUAUAACGUAUUAUUGUUAAUUUGUUAUUAUGUUAUAUAAUAUAAAUUUUAUAUUACAUAUAUUGUAAAAAAAUAUUCUAUUAUAUUAUAUAUAUAUAAAUAUUAUAAAACGAAUUUGAAAUUAGUUUUCCGCUUUCGAAUUCCGCAUUCGAAAUUCCAAUUCGAAAUCGGAACUACCAAUUUCAAAAACUAUAUUAUCGAAUUCGAUCCGAUUUCGACUAAUUUGAAAUCGGAAAUGCCGAUUUGAAUUCCGAAUUACCAAAUUCGAAAUUCCGAAUUCAAUUCGAAAUCGGUCGGUAAAUCAGAAUUUUUCGAUUUUGCACACUCCUAGUCUAGACUUAAAUUUUGACCUUUACACAUUUCAAGGCCAUAGAAACGCUCAAUAGAUUAAAAGGUCCCCUUUCACUAAAGACUUUAACUUCAGUUUUCCAGUUUACGUCCAGUGAGGAUAGGCCAUAUUGUAAUCUCAACAUCAAAAGAUUCAAGGGAAGGAACACCCAUCAAUAAAGCCAUAUAAUUGGAAAAUGUCACACAAUAAUAUAACCAAAAGUAAAGGCUUGAUAACAGAACACCACAAAUCUCAUUAACCAGAUCAUGACUUACUGGCAUGAAAAGUAUUGGGUGAUAACUAUCAGCGUAGAAAAGUACUAAAGCAGUCCUAUUCCUUUUCAUUUAUUUCCUUUCAAGAGAAGAAUGUUAUACAAUUAAAAAAAUUUAUGCCGUUUCUCAGUUUUAAGCUCAUCUUAUUGUGGUCUCAGAGUUUCUACUAUUGGCACAUAAAACCCUAAGCUUCUUUAUGAUUUCUGAGUGAUAACAACCCAAAAGUAACUAAAUGUAGAUCAGAUUAAGUCAAAGCUUGCAAAUUUACAUGCAUAAAAAUACACAUACUUCUGAUCCCCUCAUUUUCCACUAUAAUUCCUAUAAUCUUCUUCAGUAUUUAGCUUGCAUUGAUUUUAGAACAAUUGAGAUGUAAGUUUAAUUCACCUAUAACAAGCACGUCCUUCUUACGACUAAGCAUUUUUCUCCAUGAAUCUAACAUUCUACGGCAUUGACAACACACGUCAUGGUUUAGAAGAAUGAGAAAGAGAUCAAAUAUUUAGGGCUCCUAUGGUCUGCCUUAUAAACUGGCUUUGAUUAUUUUGAUGAUCAACAAGUAAGAGAAUCAACUACCAUAACUUCUUCCAUCGCCCCUAUUACACUCUCUGCAUUUUAUUUAUGCCCUUGCUUAGUUCUAAUUUCCUGUUUGAAUUCAGACACAAGCAGCAUCUAUUGACUUUAUCAUCCUAAGCUGCUCUAAGACACUGCACUAGGGGCCUUCUGACCACCCUUUCCUGAGACCAACUGCCAACAUAAUUGGUGGAUCUCUCUGGUCCUGGUGGUGAAACUAAAUGACUCACAAGACCAGGUUAAGACAACCUCAAGCAGUGCUUCCAGCCAACAACAAACACUACUCAAGACUUCGUUUAAAGUGUUAGCACUUAAAUAAACAAGCAUCGCUUAUUGCUUUGCAUUAUUAAAGGAACCUAAUUGAAUAUGGAUAAAACAUCCAAAAACCCUAAACUUGAAAACAAAGUGCAUAAAAAGGUGCAGCUGGGCAAGCAAAGAAAGGUUUGUCCACUAUAAAUCAAAUGCAAAUAGACUUGAAUCAAUCUGCACUCUACCGAAUGAAUGAUUUCUUCCAUACGUGUUGCCAGUAACAAUUCAGCACUACUCUUCCACCGACAAAUGUUAUAAAAGUAAACAUUCUUUGCCAACAUCCUCACUUCUCAAUUAGUCCAAAAAAUGACCAGCUAUCCUAAAUGGGUUUUUAGUAAACCUUGAUAAAGCCCUUGUGAAUCAUGUAAAUUAAGACCUCAUAUUAACUUAAAAAACAACUCAUACUUCACUGGAAUACGCCUAAUUAUUCGUAGCAAAUUCUUCAAUAAUUUCAUAACCCUCAACUACCCAUCUCUUCAAUCUCAUUAUUAGUUUAGUUUCUUUCCAAUCUCAAGUGCAAGUGGAGUGCAUAAACUGGAACAAAACCAAAAUUAUUAACACAAAAAUCAAACUUUGACAGCACCGAUUCAAUUUCUAUUUAAUCAUCAACUUUUUCUUUUAUUUUGAGCACAAAUGUAACUUUAUUUGAUAAGAGAACGCAUCAUACACAGAGAGGACAAACCUCAGUAACAAACUGCUGAACAGCCAAAAAACCAAAAAAAAAAAAAAAAAAAUUUACCCCCCCCCCAACCUAAAUUAAGACAAAACACAGUACAUAAUAGAGGAACUACUCAAAGAUAUCAAAAGGCAAACUUCAUUCAAUAGCUAGUCCACAAUUCUCACUCAUGCGUUCACCUUGUACCCCUCCACGCUACAACCAGGAAAAAAAAAGGAAAAGAAAAAUUAAACAAGAUUCCCAGACUUCCACAGGUAUCCAAAUUUAUAAUUGUACCCAAGUUGUGGCAAGCAUUCAGCUGAAUUCAGUAAUUAAUAUGCUUUCUUCAUGAUAAUUCCACGGAUAGAAAAGAACAGAAAAUUCGAUAAAUAUCUAAGACUGUAGAAUAAAUAAGCCCAUGAAAAGAGGCGGGAGGUGAAGAACUGACCAAAAAUAAAACAAAAUAAAAACCUGGCGGUGGCGGUGGCGGGCGGCGGCGGCGAAAGAAGAAGAGGGAGAUAGGCAGAGCAGAGGCGGGACAAAGACCACGGCAAUACUAAAAACAGAAGAAACUUUUAUGUGGCCAUAGGAUUAUAUGCAUAUUACGAGUGGAGAGGCCCAAAUUGGUCCAAAUUGGUGUUUUUAACCCUAAGUUUCUUAAAUUGUUCAAGCCUAGUCCUAGAAGUUAUUUUUCUAACAAAUAAUAGUGGUCAAAAAUAAAUUUUCUAACAAAUAAAUUUAAGUGAAAAAUUAAUUACUAUUUUGGCUGUCCAAGAAACUUUUAUCUUCCUGCGGAGAAAAACCAAUUGAGGAAAAAAUUUUAAAUCCACAAUAUAUAUACAUAUAAUUGGUCCAAAUUGGUGUUUUUAAACUUAAGUUUUUAAAAUUGUUCAAAGACUUCAAGUAUUAUAGUCCUACUAGUUAUUUUUUAACAAAUAAUAGAGCUCAAAAAAAAUUUUCCUAAAAAAUAAUUUUUUAAGUGAAAAAUUAAUUACUAUUUUGGUUUUCCAAGAAACUUUUAUAUGGUUUUAUCUUCGAGUGGAGAAAAAUCAAUCGAGAAAAAAACAUGAAUCCACUAUGUAUAUAUAUAUACACACACACAUAUAUUUGAUCCAUCUAUGGAAUAACCAUAUAAUUUUGGUAAUUUGUUGUUGUUAUUAUGGAUAGGUGUAGUAAAAUUGAAUAACUAAAGGAGAAAGAUUUUAAUUAGAAUAAUCUUAUUGAAGAAACAUGGGCGCAAAAAGGUCAAGCAAGCAAAAGAGAUUAGUGAUUAGAGCAUAUGAGGUACACAGAAUAUUUUAUGGCUAGUUGCCUUUUUUUUUUCUAAUCCACUAGACCACUGGUACAAUUGCCAAGAAGUUAAAAGGUAAUGAUAUGGUACAGUUUAAAGAGGAAGAUAAGAAUUUGACGUAACUGUCUGAUACCAAAACAUACUUCCAAGUUCCAACAUGCAUUGAAGGAUCUUAGACUUCUUGAAUGACAACUUUCAGUUCAUCUGAGAGAAGAAAAAGAACAAAUCAACAGGUUCAGGCAAAGCCCUCAGAGUGGCAAAUUUUCUUCAGACUCAAUGCUGAAUCCCUUGUCAGAAAUGAAUUCCUGCUUUGUGACUGAUCAAGUGCAUUGUUCUCAUUCUUAAAUCAUGUUGAUUGUUCUUCUCCACGAAACUGCCAUAAUUUCAUGUUUUGAUCACCCUGCUGUUUCAAUUGCUUCUAUGCACUCCACAACUGUUGCUUUCUUUGACAUUGCAGAGAUUAAUGCUUCAUGAAGUGCCUUAUUGUUCUUAAGCAGUGAUCCAGAAAAGAGUACCUACAAUGUAGUUUUCAGGAUUAAUUGUGUUGGUAAGUAAAUGAUGAGCUCAUUGCUUGCAAGACUUGGUACUAAACACAUAAAUCAGACCAGGCUUAUGGUGAUCAGUUGCAUAAACUUACUGCCCAUCUUGUGAGGUUUUGUUGCUGAUCUUUGCUAAGCUGUGGCUUGCUCCUAUUUAUAAAUCUCUGAGAGCAGGGGAAGAAGCCAAAUCAAUGUAACUAGAAAUCUUUCCAAGGAAAGUGCAUUUUCAGGAAAUCCUUAGACCUGAAGAGUGAAUAGAUCAGCAGAUUGGCCAACCACUUUAUCGUAUGUUAGUCCCUCUGCUGCCAAUCCAGCCAUUGCAAUUACUGCUAACCUGAGAAACAUAACUAAAGUUUAGUUUAUUAGCCUUUCAAAAAAUCUAUCCUUAAAACUUCAGUUGAGCUUUGGGAUAGGAAGGUUCAGAUUCAUCCAAGCAGAGGAGCUUUGAUUUAUUUCUCCACCAUUUGAACCACAGCUGGUCCAAAGUUCUUCAAGAUUAGGAGGACAGAAAUAGAAGGCAUUGGACACUUCAGAGACUGACGGUAAUUGCCUUUAGGUGCAGUCCAAUAAAUCCACCCAAGUUUUGACAUGAAAAGGAACUUUCAAAAGCUCCAGUGAAUGAGAAUCCCGGUUCAUUACCUUGUGAUUGUGUAUCAUUCUGAAUUACCUAUUUUUUCCCCAAUAAGAAGUGAUUCCCUUCUACAUACAAGAAAAUUUAAUAAGGACUUUCAACACUAGGUCAGUUCUUAGUAUUCUUUUUCACCAUAAACUUAGGAUCUGAAGUGUUGCUGCAAAAGUUGAAUGGAACAGUAUAACAUGAAAUAGACAUGCCUUAACGGUUAUUUCGACUCUUCUUCAAACAAGAACAUCACAUUGGCUAGAUAUUAAAGAGGAAAUGGUAAUAAGAUAAUACACUUCCCAUUAUAUCAACAGGCUCUAGUAUUAAGACAAAGAUACCUGUCUAGUUCUUUGGCAUCAAGCUGUCCACUAUAUAUCAGCUUUUCUAGUUUUUCAUCAAUGAGAUUGACAUGUUCUUUUCCAAUAUCCAGUGAAUACCCAAGGAUAGGAAGGCCAAGUAAGUAGGCAACUGCAAUUUCAACAGCAAAUUUUGUCAUGCCAAAGCAAAAUAUUUGGGGUACACACAUAUUUUGCAAAAUUGUACGAGACAGCAUCCACUUUCAUCAUAAUUUGGAGACCACCUCCUUCUCUUUCUCCUCCUUCCACACUGUGGUCACGUACAACAAAAAUAAAAGAAUUCCUUGAGGGAUUUAAUUUCUCAUCUCAGCUUAAGCUUUAUGACUGAGUAUUGUGGCUUAAGGCUCUCCCCCCCCCCCCCCCAAAAAAAAAACAAAAAAAAAAAAAAGCAUUUGGUGAAUUAAGUUUUACAUUUCAGAUUCCUUUUGUCUGGUAUUUCAUAAAACAAUAUAUAGACAAAUACUUCCUUACAUUUGCAGAUCUACAUUUGCCAUACUGAAAAAGAUGUUACCUAAAAAGUGAGCUGCCUCAUGUCUAGCAAUCCUCUCCUGGUAAUCAGGAAAAAAUGAUGCAAACCCACCAAUGGCUGCCUGAAGGAGACUAUAUCAUGAAUACAUAUCAGCAUUUGCUGUAAGACUUGCCUUCACUCUUAUCACUCCCUCUCUUCUCUCUACGACUACGCCUGUCUUCUGACCUUGUGUCUGUGCUUCUUUUUUUUUUUUUUUUUUUUGUGUUUUUGCAUGUACUAUCGAUGGUUGGGUGUACAGUGAAAGUUCUGUGCCUGUUACUCGCUAAUCUCACUUGUCUUCAGUAGACAAUCAUGGAAAAGUUAACUUUUCACACUUCACAUCUAUCAAGGCAUAUGAAAAGAUGUAUCUUAUGACUUACCCAGGGGAAACGCUCCCAACUGCCAGAACAAUUAAAGAGAUGCUCCCAAUUAAGUAUGGAAGAAAGAAACCCCAAUCCUGAAAGAGCAUAAAGUAGAAGUAUUGGAUGAAACUUUUCAGUGAACUCCACAUGGUGGUAAAGAAUAUCUAGCUGCAUAUUGGAGUAGAUGAUGAUCAUAUACUAUGCAUCACUAGACAAUCAAGCAAAAAACUGCAGAAAUCUAACAAAAAGGAGGUGACUUAGUGUCUCAAAUUCAUACAAUGUACUUCAAUUUGUAGAGCUUUUGCACCUAUUUACCUAAUAAAGCAUAAAAUUGUUUAUGGCAACACUCAUUUACUAAUAUAAGUCGCAUUUUGAGUGGUAAUAUCAUUAAUCAUAUGCUUUAAGAUCAAUAUUACAGUUUUUUACUGUUAUUGUAGCUUUAAGUUCACCAGAGAAGGGUGCUCCAACACAAUGAUUAAGGCGUGAUUCUCAUAUAGAUGAGAAGAAAGAUAUUUGCCUGCAUGAUUCAUCUAUCUAUGCUCGGGAGUAGACAAAAUAAGUAUGCCAAUGGACAUAAAGCUUACCCCAGGAAGCUGGCUAGUGAGAACACCUAAAAAACCAGUUGUUCCUACCACCGUAAAGAGAAACGCUGCCUGCACUACUGGAAGAAUUAGUUAAACUAAAAUGAAUCAGAACUACUGUAAAUUUCUUUGAGGAAAAUUAUGAAAACAUAAUCUCCAUUUUCUCAAGUAAUUAUACAUAAUGCUGCAAAGAAAACAUCAGAGCCAAUGCAUCAAGGUUUUAUGUUUGAAUUCUGAGCCAAAUUAAAAUUCUUCUUAUUUUAGAUAAUGCAGAUAUAGGACACACCAAUAUCUCUAUUUCUUGAAGAGCUACAGAACUGGUUAAGACCUGCAAGGUGGCCUUAUAAGUUGAGACCUUUUUUAAGCAUUGAAUAUGCACUUCUAUAUAAUCAGUGGAUGUGUUUGAGAAUAUGCAUUUCACGACAAACUUACAUCAUUUCUAACACUUGGGAUUGCAAGGUUCUCUGCAUUUUUAAUCCCAAGGGUUGUCAACUCUCGAAGAGAUGUCUGCGACAGAAAUUUCAGAACAAUUGUCAUUUUUCUGCAGAUGAAAACAAAAGAAUAUUUUAAGGAAACAACAUAAAAUAUAUGUUUUCAGAGUACAUGUAUGCACAGAUUUGUAGAAGAUGUUAAUGCUUGAGUAGAACUUUCCCAUAACUUCUCAUUCUCAGUUGAGACUGACCGUACGGCGUGAUACAUAUGGCUGAGAACUCCACCUUUUCGCCCAACCAACUUCACUCAGCUGAUCAAGUACUUCUUUAACUGCAUCACUUUCUUUCUGCAGCAUGUCAAUAGAUGAGAACAAUAUCAAACAAAAUGUAACUGAGGCAUUGCAGAAUUCUAAUAUUUUUCUGAUCAAAUGGAUAAAAGAAAGGAUUGAUGUGCACAAGCAUUUUAUCCUAGUAGCGACUUGUCAUACCAUAGCAAAGAACUGCAUCUGGACAUUUAACGGGUCCAAAAAUGCUUCAUAAAUUUUAAAACUUGAACUCGUUUUUGGUUAAAUUUGCUGAAGAUGCCUUCAGGCUAUAUCAAUAGCUAGUGAUGUGAUAGACCCUAAAAUUGUUUUGCAUAUGCCUAAUAAAAGAAGGGAUAAGAGAAGAAUGAUCUUGUGAUACAGUAACAUUUACACUGGUCAAUUUCACAACUUAGUAAGAAACUAAGUAAAAUGCCUUUUAAUAGUAGUUACAGAUUCGUGGCAGGACCAAUGAUUGGCCUCAGGAGUUAACCGUUAGCAUUUAAUAUGUGAAUAUUAGUGGUACGAAAAUCAGAGAUGGACAUUAUUAUUCAUGUGCAAAUCUUGUGUGCUUUCUAUGUUUUAAAUGUGCAUACAAACGUUAAGAUGUGUACAACUAGUUUUCCUGCAAAUCUGUAAACAAAUGUCGUCUGCUAAAGGCAAUAACCUAUCCUCACUCAAUCUCAAAUAAAUUUCUCAUAACCACCGUUACCAUUUAGCUGCCUACGGUUUUACAGUGCAGAACAUUCCAAAAAGAAUUCUGCGAAGAUUUCACUCUGAAUCGGUUUCAAAAAUGCCAACUUUCCAUUUGUCCGUAUAUGGAUUCUCAUAAUAGUCAAUAAUUUCUCCAAAAGUGAAAAGUCAGACCAAUUCAAUGCUCACAUUUUAUCUAAAAUUAAAAAAAUGGAAGCAAAAAUUAGUAAAAACACCUCAGAUGACAACAAUUUUUCCAUUUAUAUCCGUAAAAUGCACUACUAAUAAUCCACAAUAAGAAAAACCCGCAUGGAGAAAAAUAAAGGUUGAAAAACAAAUUUCUGUGAACAAAAGACUAACCUUGGAAAUUGCAGAUUCAAGAAUGCUGAGGUCCACACCAGAAGCAGCAGAUGAAGAAGCUCUUAUCCUCCAACUCAUGGGAUGCCUGAAACAUGUUCGAUUAUUCCAACAUUGUAAAUUAAUAUGGGAAUGGCAAAACAGAGAGGAAUAAAGGGUUGAAACGGAGGUGGAAGCCAUAUGUUUUCCUCAGGUUUUCUUUCCUUCUUUCUGUCUUCCGUGAAGUUGGUCCGGGACUCGGGGUCUGGGGAUAAGGUUGGCGGGAGGACUUGAAUAUACGGUUACAAAUGUACUAGUCUUUUUUUCCCCCCAUAUGGACCCUAUGUAUUGAGAUUUAACUGUAGAGACCUCCUCCCAUAAGGCAAAAGAUAGACAUAAUACUUUGUAAAAAUUCCCGAAUGGCAUUUCCCAGGUACCGGUUGGACUUGACAUUCCUGGCAUUGAGUACCUUAAAAUACGUUAGCAGCGUAUUUGGUCUCGAGCUCGAGGCUCGUCCAGCUCUUGAAAAUUCAAUUUAAAUUCGAUUUAAUUAUUAUUUUUAUCUUAUUUAAGUUCGAAUUCAAUGUAUUGUAUUCAACUCAAAUUCGACUUAAUGUAUUGUAUUUUUUAUCCCUUUGACCGGAUAGGAAAUUAUUCAAAAAAAAGUAUAUAAAAUAAUACUGUAGCAUUAUUUGUAAUGUAAUUUAUAUGAGAUAAAAAGUUAGUUAAAAAUUAUAUUCAGGGUAUAUAUAUAUAUUUUUUUUUUUUGGCAAAUCUUGACAAUCAAACAGACCCAAUUAUUGUUAUUAUACUAACUUUUAGUGUAUCAAAAUUUAACCAAAAUUAUUUCUUUUUUUUUUGUAAUUGAAAUGCUUCAUUUUCUUGCACUAAAUAAAUGAAAAUUGUGCAAUGAUAUCUCAUUGACCUUCUAAAAGGGCCAACUAACAAUUUAUGAUACUUCAUAUCUAUAGCAUAAACUGUAGCGGUGGACUGAAACUUGGGAAAUGCCUUGGUAUAAAUGUGCAUUGGCAUGACUGUACAUUUCCUGCUGAAACUGUGAAGAUUGGUUUUAGGACCAUAUCAGGCAAUGUUGUAAAAGACAUUAAACAUAUGUAUCUUGUUUGGAAAAGGAACUUCUGCACUCAGAAUUAGAGCUGCAAACGAAUCGAGUUGCUCAAUUCCGAACUCGACUCAAGAUCGGUGAACAUCGAGCUCGAGUCAAAUUUGAGUUGACCAAGUCGAACUCGAGUUUGAAAAUACUAAUCUUGUUAGUUCCCGAACCGAUUCGAAUUCGAUUAUAUAUAUAAUUUUUUAUUUUAAUAAUAAAAUUAUAUAUAUCUCCAUAAUAUUUUAUUUUUAAAAUAAAAUAAUUAUUUUUAAAAAAAAAUUUAAACUCAAACUUGACAUUUUAAACUCGUCGAGUUCAAACUUGAAUUUGAACGAGACUCAACUCGAUUAGGCCGAAAUUCGACUUGGUUCGAUUGUUUGGACCCUUACACAGAGUAUAUACAACCAUGAUGUAGUCUACAUUGGGUACAUCAAAAUGUGGGAAAUGUGUCACAAUCUAAGGUGCAAAAUGUUGGGGAUAUUGCAAAGAAAAUGGUUGAAUGAUACAAAGAUAAAUACACAAAAUAAAGAUUUCAAAUCUUGAUUCCAAAUCACUUUUCUUUAGGUUUUAGUUGCCCAUUAUUUGUAUGCAAUAGGACUCGGACAAAUUAUCCUUCACCAUAAUUUGAAAUUUGCUUGUCUUUUACUCUUUGCACAAAAUAAGACAAAUCCUACUUGAACUAUGGGCUGUUUUUUAAGAGAAUUCUAUAGCGUAGAAAAGUAAUUUCUAUACAUGAUCCAGAAGUAUUUGAAAGUUGCAACUUUUGUCUAAUGAGUAUUUUCUUAGCCAAGUGAUUAACACCAGUGGUUGGUCUGAAGUUUUUUCAGAGGUUUUAGACACCAUUUCGAGGGGCAUUAACCGUCAAAACAUGAAAAAUUAAACAUUUUGACCGUCACUAAGGAUGCAUCCGCAGAUCAUACUGCAUUUCCAAUGGGGCGCUCAUACCCUUCUAGUUUUCUCCACAGCAGAAGGAUCCCUGCACUCGUAUAAUCACUGUAAAAAGGACCUUUUGUGGAAGUUACUCGUAUAUAUAUGGCUCAGGAUUUACGAAUGAAAUGUACAACAGUGGUCAAAAUCACUGAACAUGCAGCUGUAUUUGAAGUAGAAUGACUAUAAACAUAUGAAUUUGAACCUAAGUGACAUGCAGUUGUACGAGAGCACAAGAUUUCCAUCCAGAUGAAAGGUUUGACAAUGCUGAAACCAAUAACCAAGGGAGUAGAAUUUAUAGUACCAUACACGAAUAAAACACAUGAACUGAACUUUAUCUGAUAUCCAACCGGUCUAUGCGAGCACAGUAAAUUAAUUUCAAAUCAGACGGGAAAAGAAAGGUACAUACAAGAAGCAGGACUGGUCCAACUUACAUUGCCAGCUGCAGAUGAACCCUAUAUGGUAUAUACACAUAAUAACAUUACAGAAUCUAGACAGUGUCGGGAAUGCGGCCGAAUAUAAAUACAGAUUACUUUCCAGAUGGGCUGUAGCAAACUUGGCCAGCAAAUUAUCUGCCAAUGUACCCCAGAUGGUGGUGACUCGGACUACGCAAUACACCUCGGCACUUUCGAGAAUCUGAAGCAGCUGGAUGGCUACCCCAAUGUUGCUCCGUCACACAAUCUGAGCUAGAAGAAACUACCAGUAGCAUCAUUCUGCUAAGGAGCAAUUUAUCACCUGCUUCUCAACUGGAGUAGUUGGAAAAAUCGAUUGCAGUGAGAAUCCUGUGAAAAACACCACAAUGGUUUUGUCGUCAACGAAAGUACCCAGGAUAAAUGAAAUAGGAAGCUAAAAAUCAUAAUGCAUCUCUCAUACAAGAAGAUCAACAGUAAAGCCCCACGUGCUCAGGCAGCCCUCCUUUUCAGACCAUAAGUAAUGGAAGUGAAUGGAUGAAAAUUCAUUUUAGCUAUAGAAGCAAGAAAUUUGAAAUUACAUGAAGGGGAAGAAGAACAGAUGUGAAGCUACCAGCUUUGGAAACAAAGUUCCAUAAAAGAAGCCUGGCACUUCAAUGAUCAUCAGCCUUUUGAAAUGAAUGACCUCACAAGCAAAACAGAAUUUCUCAUUCCCUUAAAGGUAAUUGUGAAUGCCAAUGACAGAUGGCAACGGGAGAAAAUGACUUGAAAAUGAACCAAAGCUCCAACAAAUGAACUCAAAUGGAGUAUAUGUUCUCAUCUAAGACUUAUCACUUAAUAGUCGUCUGCAAAUUACAAAUAGUAGCUGCAAAAACAUAUACGAUAUUAUCACCUUCAAGAACAAAUUUUGAACACCAAGGACAAGUAACAACAUGACAGAAUGACUCAAAAAUAAAAGAGGACCAAAAUUCUAAGAGUUGAAACAGAGGGAAAGAAAAAGUGUAAGGUAGCUGACUACACACGCAAUUCCAUACUAUAAAGUCAUCAUAUAACAAGCAAAAGCAAUCGUAUAAAUUGAACUUUCAUGAUAAAUUCAAAUGCUCACUUCUGGGACCGGAUUGUUAAGAAAACCCGGGACAAACAAAAGGCAAGGAGGGUAGUAUCUCACAUUUGCAAUAUAAUCCAUGAGUGGUAAUUAAUGAUGCUCAAUAAAAAAUGGACUGGAUCUCAGGAAGUAAGUCUAUCCUCAACUGGAUUUCAGAUAGAUAACGCAGUAAAAACAUUAACAUCACUGAUCCAGAAUGGACAAUCAAGACUAAACUACAGCAAUGUUAAAAAAAUAUUGAAUCUGUCUAAAUCUAAAAAAAAAUUCAAGCAAUGGCAGCGCAAUCAUCAUGGGGACAUCAAAGUAGCAGAGUAUCACAUUAUAAGGCCAUUUUGUCAAUCGAGAAAAUAUCUUAAAAAACAAACAAAUCCAAAAUGCUCGUGUUGAAUUUGGCUCUAAUCCAUUUUGAAUACAUGGGUAAAACAACUGUGAGUAUACCAUUCAACUGAAUCUCAGAAUCUCCAGAUUACAACAUCAAAAAUAAAGUACAUAACUCAACAGAGAGGUGGGAAAUGAGGAGAACAGCAUCUCAGAGUCAAUCCCCAUAGUUUUCUUCACUGGUAAUCAAAGUGCAAGGAUAACAAUUGUCAUAUAUCAUCACUGAUGCUCAUCCUCAGAUCAUAAAACAAAUUAAACCACCAGUACAGACUUCAAUAUCGAAAAAGAAAUUGAAAAAAUGGCAUUAUGAAACCAUUAGACUGAUAAUUAUCAUACAGGACCUCAGGAAGACAAAUUAAUCUUCAAUUCCAUUUGGGAAAUUGCAGAUAGAUAACGCAGUUUAUUUCUUAUUACAUCAUCGGUCCUUCCAGGAAAAAUUCAAAGGCAAAUAGGAUAAUACAAAAGAAGAAAAUUUUCCAGCAAGAAGCUCAAGAAGCAGUAAUGAAUGAUUAAAAUGUCUAAACAAGGAGGAGGAACCUAAAAGAACAAUUUAUGCCAGCGGGACUUCACAGUUAGGCAAAAGAACAAAAGACAUAAAACACUAGUUUGGGUCUUCUGGGAUUGGAUGAAUGACGUUGCUUGGCACAUGAAAAUCAAAUGUUUUUAAACUCUUAUGAAAGUGGAGGCAGUCAGUCUGUUGGGUAACCCUUGUUACAGUAUAGGACAUGUUCAGCUGCUGGCUUUAUUCCAUAUAUUUUUUGCUCCAUAAUUAUAUGAAAGCAUAUUUUAGGCAAGAUGACCAAUUAAUAUCAAAUAAGGGGGGGAAGUCAAUUAAAAAGUAUAGAAUGAACCAAUCGAGCUUGUUCCUUUUUAUGUGUGCUUCAGAGGUUCAGGGAUGUUCCCUCGUCAAUGGCCUUUCCCCCAAUUUGCGCUCUAUUUUCCCCUUUCCUCGCAAAGAAUGAAGUAAAAGUUCACACUCUCUGCAACGAACCAGUUUUAUAUAACUAUAUAUUUAAUGACUACUCAAUUAGAACGAGAGAGAGGGAAGUUUACAUGCAUGGUAUAACCGUACAAGGCUAAACCCAUAAAAAACAAAGCAUUCAAACAAAUGAAUCAGAUAACUAAAUGGCUAACAUGCUUCAAAGAUAAAAGAACCUGAAUAUUAUAAACAACAUAUGCACCAAAGAACAAUUGCCAUACCCUGCACCAAACAUCACCAUCAGAACUCAGCUGCCAUACAAUGUACAAUCGCAGCUCCAUUAGGAACUGUGAGAAUCACGUCAGACCAUAAAAUCCUUCCGCUCAACAUUCCAUCCCCAUCCUUCCAAACUUCAAUAUCCGCACACAUUAUCUCCACCUCCUUCCCGCUCCCCUUCCCCUCCCAAACUACACACAACCUUCCAUCGAAAUUCACCAUCGUCGCACCACAUAAAAACCUAGGCAACCCUUUCCCUACACCCCUCAACUCCUUCCAAACAUCUUCCUCCACAUCGUACCCUCUGAUCUUCCCUAAAUAAUCAUAACAAUACAACACUCCCCGAACCACCGCAGCCCGCCCCCUCCACCCCAAAUCAAGCCUUUUUGACACGUUUCCCCACUUCCCCAGCCCAACAUCAUACACCACCCCACCUCUAUCCGCCAUUGCAUAAACUCUCCCCUCCACCACCGCGCUCGCGUGCAUCCACUUCUCCCUCACCUCAAUAGGGCUCGGCACCGGGGCCCACAACCCAGUAUCCGGGUCAAAAACCUCGGCCCAGUUCACAGACCGUGCCCAGCUAUCCACAACACAACCACCUAGAACAUAAAUCUUCCCAUCAACAACCCCGGCCGCAGCGAACUCCCGUCCCACCUUCAUUCUUGGGCCUUGCUCCCACCUAUUAAACCUACAAUCAUAAACCCACAUCGAAUUUAACGGAAUGUCGUUAAUAGACCCCCCAAUUACGUAUAUUUUCGGGCCUAGGACGGCGAACGCAGGUCCUACGGGCUGACACGGGAUGCGGGGAAGGGGAAAAAUGGGUUUUUGUGGGAUUUUUCUGCUAUGGCAAUUAGAGAGGAGAGUGUACCAGUGGAAGGAGUAGUUGACGCGGAGGUUGAGGUAGAGAGAGGUUUGGGUGGUAUGGAGGAGGGACCGGGUGGUGAAGAGUGCAGAGGAGGUUAUGGCGGAGCGCCAUGAUCUUGAGACAAGAGAGAGCUUAGGGUAAUAGUAUCUGGGGAUUCUUGAUAGGCAGUUGAUGGACACGUCAUCUGGGAGGUCUGGGAUCAGCUGGGGUUCGGCCGAUGGUUGUGGCGGCUGGCCGCCACUGGUGGUGGUGGUCAUCUAACCAAUGGACUGUGAAACUUGGGAAAUGCCUAUGUUGUUGCAGCUAAAUACGUAUAGGGACUCUAAAACUUUGGAAAUGCCUAUAUGUUGAAUUAUUGAUUCGCAACCACCUAAAAAAAAAUUUUGAAAAUUAAAUUCAAACUCGACUUGAUUAUUAAUUUAUUUAAGAAUUCAUGCUCGAUUUUGAUGUCAUUAUUAUUAUUUUUUAACUAAAAUUGCUCAUUUUAUGUAAUUGAAAUGCUUCAUUUUCUUAUAUAUUAAAUAAAUGAAAAUUGUGCAAUACCGCAUUGACAUAUCUUCUAAAAAGGCCAUUUGACGUAUACAAAGCGUUGGGGGCCAAAGGGUAAACGCAAUCUGAGAUUUCCAAGUUCGAACUGACAACGGGGAAACAAAAUCUAUCCAACUGAACUCUAAGAUUGCCAAGGAAACAGUUCCAACCGAAUUGCCAAGAUUUUUAACCAGCGAGACAGUAGUAAUGUGCUUAGCUGGAGUAAUUACCAAGUAAACUGCAUAUUUUAGAUCAUACUCUGGUUCCUAGUUAGCUUCUCUUCUUGAACGGGCAUUGGAGCAAAUCUGAUUCUAGCCAACUCAAACUCUUUCAAUUUCAGGCAGUCAUCAAGAGCAUCUGCAGAUGUGCAAAUGUAUUGCCAUUACAAUCCUUGAGAAUCAUGUAAAUUCUGUCACGCAAUUUUGUGCUCCAAUGGCUAUUUGCAGAAAAGAUUCAUCAUCCCAUUUAUUAGACUCCUAUCUCUCUGUAAAUGAAAGAAUAGAAUGCUCUGAAAGUUUCUCAAUAGACCAUAAAGAUUUGCACAAACUGGCUAUAAAGAUAAUUUGAAUAUCAAAGAAUCCUGACACUGUAAAACUAAGCCGAGUCUUGAAAUUUUCUGCAUAAAUGGAGUGUAAGACAUACUUAACAUCAAAAUGGAAAGCACCUGGUGCAUCUUUCAUGUUCUUUUAGUCUCCUUUUUCAGUUAUAGAAUGCAAAACCUCAGGCCUUUCCCAGGCAAUUCCUGCUGGGAUAGGCUUAUGACGGAGGUGAACUUGAAAAAUUUUGCAAAACUCUUGAACCAGAGAUUUGUGAGUAAUAUCAAUCAGCUGGUUAUCAUCAAUGUCAUACUUGCUUUCAGCUCCACGUCGAUUAGAUGAAACAUGUUCCUGCAACAGACCCUUUAUGCUUCCAACUUGACGAUCUUGAAUACCGCAAGGGACAAUUUGACCAAAUGCUGUCAGAUCUGUGGCAACAUUCAAUGCUAAUCCAUGGUAUGCUAUCCACUGUGACACUUUUAUACCAAUAGCUGCCAGUUUUUGGUCUCCUGAAGGGGUCACAGGUGUUAGUCUCUGUCUAUUUCACCAGCAAUCUUAAAUUAAAUGCUAAAUAUGACAUUGCUAUUAAGAAGUCAAUAGCAAAUUAAUUUUGCUAUGAAACCACCACGCAUGGAUCCAUUCAAUCCAGCUUUUCCAGAAGGAUAAAUCCUAAAGCACAUCAGAGGAAGGGAAAAGAUGUCAAGCACAAAAGACAAGAACAAUCUAUCUGUAAAAUUUUAUGCAUACGUGCUGAAAACUCCCAAUUUUCAGAUGAUUAUAAGAUAGGGCUCUGAGGACCCUUCUCCCCUGACUUCUGGGCCAACCCAGUGAUUAUAAUUUAGGUUGAUUAAUCAGCUUUGUGUUAUUAGAUGUCUUGUAGCUCAUAUGCUCUAAUCACUAAUCUCUUUUUCUUGCUUGACCGUUUUACGCCCAUGUUUCUUCAAUAAGAUUAUUCUAAUUAAAAUCUUUCUCCUUUAGUUAUUCAAUUUUACUACACCUAUCCAUAAUAACAAUAACAAAUUACCAAAAUUGUAUGGUUCUUCCAUAGAUGGAUCAAAUAUGUGUGUGUGUGUAUAUAUAUUGUGGAUUCACAUUUUUUUCUCAAUUGAUUUUUCUCCACUCGAAGAUAAAACCAUAUAAAAGUUUUUUUGGAAAACCAAAAUAGUAAUUAAAUUUUCACUUCAAAAAAUUAUUUGUUAGGAAAUUUUUUCUGAGCUCUAUUAUUUGUUAAAAAAUAACUAGUAGCCCUAUAAUACUUGAAGUCUUUGAACAAUUUUAAAAACUUAAGUUUAAAAAUGUGAGAAUCCGAAAAUUUUUAUAUUUUCUAAACAUUAUUUUAUUUCCUUAUCUACAAUUUUAUACUUUCCUUCAAUAUAUUAACUUUAUAUAUAUUUUUAUAAGUGAAUAUAGUUUUUCAAAUCAUUUUUCUAGUAUGAGUCGGUUCAUGUUAAGUUUGAAGUGUAUUAUAGAUAUGGGACCCGCUAGUGCGGUAAAUGCGAUAAAAUUUUGGUGAUUAGGUGAUUUUUGUGUAAAGGAAUAUUAUUUUACAAGGUGUUAGGAGAUAAUUAGAGAUUAGCUAGAUAGAUUAACCAUUGGGAGGAAGAAGAUAAGUUUAAAACAUUCAAGGUGCCAAGUGUCGCGACCCGAUUGGAAGUUGGACUUUUGACCAAGGUUUUUAACUUUCCUAAAACUCAAAUUUUGACCAAAAUCAUCUUCAUUUCUUUCUCAAGUUGGCCGAACCAUAGAGAGGAGAGAAGAGAGAAAAGCCUUCAUCUUGUUCUUCAAUUUCUUAUCCAAAUCUUGAGUUCCAACCGAUUAAAUUGCAAACCACUCCAUAAAAGUGGUAGUUAAGGUAGUUUCCAAGGUGUUUGUGGAGUUAAUUUGGGAGGAAGAAGCCUAAACUACCAUCUUUCUUGUGAUAUAAGGUAAAUUUGCUAGGAAAUCCCUCUUUACAUAAAAAACUAGGAUAUUUGUGGUUUAGCGUUACAAUGUUUGUGAUUUUAUGAGAAAUAUUGUGGUUUGAGGUGAUGAUAAAGAAUUUUCCGUUUUUAUGAUGUAAUUUCUGCUCACAUGUAAUGAUUGAGGGUUGGCCAUGUUUUGCUAGUUUACUAUAUGAAAGAUUAAAGGAUUAUGGAGUAGAUUAACCUGCCUAAAGAAAUUUCUAACUUAUGUACUUAAAUUUCAAAUUUAGGGUUUCGAAUUUGGCCUUGAAGAUGGUUGAUAUUGGAGCUAUUAAUUGGCUUUAUAUUAAGGGUGUUAUGGCCCUAUAAGAGUGUGUUUAAUGACUUGUAAUUUGUAUGUACAAUUGAGGUGAAAUUGGUGGUUGUUUGUAGGAGGGAAAAAUAAAGAUUUUAGAGGGAGGUACUGUUGAAAUUUUUCCGCAGGAACCCUUGAGUAGUCUUGGAAAAAUUGCUAUAUUUUCUUGUAGAAAAAUCGGAAUUUAGUUCUAUUUGUUGUGUUUUAAACUAGAUUCCUAGAGCUAUAUACCGUGAAAAUUUUAGACCAUGUUUUGGUCCGUACGAUUUAUGGUGAUUUUUCAAAAUUAACUGAAAGUGCAUACCUAUCCUGUCGUUUGCUGGAUAAAGCGACAACUUGAGGCUCGAAUAUGACUGACUUGUGUUCUGAAUCUUAUCAUAGUGUCUUCUGAAAAAUUGUAAAUCUUUGAAUCUAUUUCCAAUGGUGUAAAUUUUAUCAAUUUUGGGACUUAAGAAGCUUGAGAUAUAAUUUUUCAAAUAGUGUUAUGCAAAAUUGAAAAAUUCUGUUUUCCUAGAACUGGUCUUACUUUCAUUUUCCACUUCAAAUUUGGAAAUGGUGAACCAUUGUAGGUAGAGUUUUGGGAAGAGGUGAAGGGCUUUGAGGUCGUUCAUGUCUUUAGGACCAACUAUUAUCUUUUCAUUCAAAAAUCAUAUUUUAGCUCUUUGCAUUUGUAGUUCAUUUGAAUAGGCAUAUGACUCGUAGUCGAGACUCACUUGCACAUUCCGUUUACUAGGUUUUGGAUGUGAAAACCUCAAUUGUUUUAUCUUGAUUAUUUUUAGGGUUUUACAGUGAUCAAAACCCUACUUUGAGUGAAAACUUGUGAAGUUAUUUUUGUUUGAACUGGUGAGUGUACCACUCCCCUGAAUUGUUACUUAAUUGGAUCAUCUGUACUUGAAAUCUGUAACAUGAAUGACUAUGAACUCUGUUUAGUCUAAAUGAGAUGAGAGUGUACUUUAUCAUACUCGUUAUCUGGCCUGUGUGACUGUUUACUGUAUAAACUGGAAUCUGUUACUUGUAUCUGUUAUGAGCUUGAAUCAGUUAUCUGUGCCUGUUAUAAUGUCAUUUGGAAGUGUAUUCAACGACCUUCCUGUUAAACCUGAUCUCAAUCUCAUGGGGAGUUAAUUGAAUCGAGCCAACAAGGGAUUGGUCGAGAAAAUUGACAAUCCAUGGGUGUCUGUUCCUAGGGAAUCUAUAGGUAUUGGAAACUCUGGAUUUCCGGUAUACACGAAUAUUACCAUUCAUGUUCCUGGUGAGGUGUUCGGACCCGGUAAGGGGUAUGUUUGGUGGACGGAAUUUGGUGUUAAGUGGUGCGCUACUGAGUUAGUUACUUUACUUGAAAGUUGAAAAAGUGUCAACUACUACUUGAUCAAGAUAUGGUACUGCAACAGGAAUCUGGCUCUUGAGAGCCACUUGUAUCCUUCCUAUUUGAAUCUGUGUUUAAUUGCUUUACUUUAUAUCUGAUAUGUGUAUCUGAUUGAUUAAACGUGAAAUACCAUGAUUCUUGAUUACUAGUAUUUUGGUACCUCAUUGAGCGUAAAGUCACCCCCUUCCCGUCAUCUGUGUUUUCCUUACAGGGGCAAACUGUGAAAUCAUGAUUUUUGGAAGAAAGGGUCGAGUUAGAGUAAACGAUCUUUUGUUAAGCUCCUUUGCAAUAGAAAAACCUUAAUUGUAGUUUAAUCUAAUAUCACACUUUGACUUGUAAAGUUUCAACGUGGGUUUAAAAGUUUUUAUUCAUGUCUCUAUCGCGUAUUUGUUGGUGAAUGUACGUUCGAUGGGUUCAUAUGAACUUUACUUGUAUUCGUUGGAGAUUCGAACGAGUGUGAGAUUUGAUUGAAGAAAGAAAAAAUUUUGGCGGGAAACUGCUUACCCAAUCCGGCCGUAUAUCUGGCCAGUUCUUGGCCGGAUACUUGACCGGAUUGGCAGGGGAGGUUGAAAAAAAAAUAAGGUUUUGCUACUGCCUUGAAUCUGGCCGUGAAUCCGGCUGAAUAUCCGGCUAACUUCUGGCCGGAUUGUGACGUGAACCACUUUUCGUUUCGUUUUCGGUUCCGUCUUCCUUUUCAUUGAAGUGUUUAAUUGAUGUCCCAUUUCAUUAUAUGAUUUGGUAAGUUAUAUUUUUGGCCUAGUGGUCUCCGAUUGUUUGUUUUCUUUUGGUUUUAACACGCGUUUGUGCGAUUUGUUUCCUAGUCCCGACCAGAAUUGAGCAGGCGAUCCGCCGAACUCUUUAAUUUACCUUAGGGAAAUGUGGGGUUGUCACAAAAAACACUAAUUUGGACCAAUUAUAUAUAUAUAUAUAUAUAUAUAUAUGUAUGUAUAUAUUGUGUGGAUUCACAUUUUUUUUCCUCAAUUGGUUUUUCUCUGUAGGAAGAUAAAACCAUAUAAAAGUUUCUUGGACAGCCAAAAUAGUAAUUGAUUUUUCACUUAAAAAAUUAUUUGUUAGAAAAUUUUUUUUGACCUCUAUUAUUUGUUGGAAAAAUAACUAGUAGGACUAGUCUUGAACAAUUUAAGAAACUUAGGGUUAAAAACACCAAUUUGGACCAAUUUGGGCCUCUCCACUGGUAAUAUACAUAAACCUAUCCUAUGGCAGCAUAAAAGUUUCUUCUGUUUUUAGUAUUGCCGUGGUCUUUGUCCCGCCUCUGCUCUGCCUAUCUCCCUCUUCUUCUUUGGCCGCCGCCGCCCGCCACCGCCGCCGCCGAUAGCGCCAGGUUUUUAUUUUGUUUUAUUUUUAGUCAGUUCUUCACCUCCCACCUCUUUUCAUGGGCUUAUUUAUUCUACCGCCUUAGAUAUUUAUCGAAUUUUCUGUUGGAAUUAUCAUGAAGAAAGCAUAUUAAUUACUGAAUUCAGCUGAAUGCUUGCCACAACUUGGGUACAAUUAUAAAUUUGGAUACCUGUGGAAGUCUGGGAAUCUUGUUUAAUUUUUCUUUUCCUUUUUUUUCCUGGUUGUAGCGUGGAGGGGUACAAGGUGAACGCAUGAGUGAGAAUUGUGGACUAGCUAUUGAAUGAAGUUUGCCUUUUGAUAUCUUUGAGUAGUUCCUCUAUUAUGUACUGUGUUUCGUCUUAAUUUAGGGGGGGGGGGGUAAUUUUUUUUUUUUUUGGUUUUUUGGCUGUUCAGCAGUUUGUUGCUGAGGUUUGUCCUCUCUGUGUAUGAUGCGUUCUCUUAUCAAAUAAAGUUACAUUUGUGCUCAAAAUAAAAGAAAAAGUUGAUGAUUAAAUAGAAAUUGAAUCGGCGCUGUCAAAGUUUGAUUUUUGUGUUAAUAAUUUUGGUUUUGUUCCAGUUUAUGCACUCCACUUGCACUUGAGAUUGGAAAGAAACUAAACUAAUAAUGAGAUUGAAGAGAUGGGUAGUUGAGGGUUAUGAAAUUAUUGAAGAAUUUGCUACGAAUAAUUAGGCGUAUUCCAGUGAAGUAUGAGUUGUUUUUUAAGUUAAUAUGAGGUCUUAAUUUACAUGAUUCACAAGGGCUUUAUCAAGGUUUACUAAAAACCCAUUUAGGAUAGCUGGUCAUUUUUUGGACUAAUUGAGAAGUGAGGAUGUUGGCAAAGAAUGUUUACUUUUAUAACAUUUGUCGGUGGAAGAGUAGUGCUGAAUUGUUACUGGCAACACGUAUGGAAGAAAUCAUUCAUUCGGUAGAGUGCAGAUUGAUUCAAGUCUAUUUGCAUUUGAUUUAUAGUGGACAAACCUUUCUUUGCUUGCCCAGCUGCACCUUUUUAUGCACUUUGUUUUCAAGUUUAGGGUUUUUGGAUGUUUUAUCCAUAUUCAAUUAGGUUCCUUUAAUAAUGCAAAGCAAUAAGCGAUGCUUGUUUAUUUAAGUGCUAACACUUUAAACGAAGUCUUGAGUAGUGUUUGUUGUUGGCUGGAAGCACUGCUUGAGGUUGUCUUAACCUGGUCUUGUGAGUCAUUUAGUUUCACCACCAGGACCAGAGAGAUCCACCAAUUAUGUUGGCAGUUGGUCUCAGGAAAGGGUGGUCAGAAGGCCCCUAGUGCAGUGUCUUAGAGCAGCUUAGGAUGAUAAAGUCAAUAGAUGCUGCUUGUGUCUGAAUUCAAACAGGAAAUUAGAACUAAGCAAGGGCAUAAAUAAAAUGCAGAGAGUGUAAUAGGGGCGAUGGAAGAAGUUAUGGUAGUUGAUUCUCUUACUUGUUGAUCAUCAAAAUAAUCAAAGCCAGUUUAUAAGGCAGACCAUAGGAGCCCUAAAUAUUUGAUCUCUUUCUCAUUCUUCUAAACCAUGACGUGUGUUGUCAAUGCCGUAGAAUGUUAGAUUCAUGGAGAAAAAUGCUUAGUCGUAAGAAGUACGUGCUUGUUCUAGGUGAAUUAAACUUACAUCUCAAUUGUUCUAAAAUCAAUGCAAGCUAAAUACUGAAGAAGAUUAUAGGAAUUAUAGUGGAAAAUGAGGGGAUCAGAAGUGUGUGUAUUUUUAUGCAUGUAAAUUUGCAAGCUUUGACUUAAUCUGAUCUACAUUUAGUUACUUUUGGCUUGUUAUCACUCAGAAAUCAUAAAGAAGCUUAGGGUUUUAUGUGCCAAUAGUAGAAACUCUGAGACCACAAUAAGAUGAGCUUAAAACUGAGAAACGGCAUAAAUUUUUUUAAUUGUAUGACAUUCUUCUCUUUGAAAGGAAAUAAAUGAAAAGGAAUAGAACUUCUUUAAUACUUUUCUAUGCUGUUAGUUGUCACCAAAUACUUUUCAUGCCAGUAAGUCAUGAUCUGGUUAAUGAGAUUGGUGGUGUUCUGUUAUCAAGCCUUUAUUUUUGGUUAUAUUAUUGUGUAACAUUUUCCAAUUACAUGGCUUUAUUGAUGGGUGUUCCUUCCCUUGAAUCUUUUGAUGUUGAGAUUACAAUAUGGACUAUCCUCACUGGACGUAAACUGGAAAACUGAAGUUAAAGUCUUUAGUGAAACGGGACCUUUUAAUCUAUUGAGCAUGUCUAUGGCCUUGAAAUGUGUAAAGGUCAAAUUUUAAGUCUAGACUGUGAACAUGUUUCCCUACUAGUCAUUUUAUUACAAGGAGCAAGAUUAAUAUUGCCAUCACAUAACAUCAAAUCAUAGAUGAAGAAUUUGAGAUCAUUGCAAAUGCAGGUUAAAUGGUUCCUGCUCAAUGUCAAUUUUCAAUAUACAAUUUUGCAAAUAUGUACAUUAAAAUGGUUUCUCACAAUGCAAGGAUUCCGAUGUGUCUUAAUUCCCAUUCUAGAUUACUCUCGUUAAGUGUAAUCUAUCUCAUUUUUCAUAUUUUAACCAUGAAUUCUAAUGGACUAAAAGACAAUGUUAGUAAUUUAGUGCUAGAAAUUUUCUAACGCCAUCUGCCUAUGUAUGCAUUAGCGAGGUUAAAUGUAAGUGACAUAUGCAAAGUUAAAACUUAAUUUGCAAAGUUAAAACUUAAUUUCAAAUUUCAUAAAUCAGAGUUGUUGUAACCAUAAUUGGUUUUUACUUACAAAGGACACAUUCAUUAGAGUUGUUUUAACCAUAAUUGAUUAAGCAGCAGUUUGAUGAAUAUGUGCUUCUUGUAUCUUUUUCUCAUUCUGCUCUGUAGUUCCACAUGGUUCUAAUUUUCUCUUGGGUUAAAAAAAAAAGCCCCUGUGGUAAACGUAAUAUACAGAAAAGCCCCUCUUGGUUUCAAAACGCACAAUACGAGACCUCAUACUUUGAAUUAAAUUGUAAAGGUGACGGAAUCCGUUAAAUUUAAUGGAAAUGGACAAAAUGACAAAAAUGCCUUGAUAUAAUUAAGCAAAAGACAGCUUAACAAAUUCAUUUAUUUUAUUCUCUAGAGAGAUUAAAUUAAGGGUUAAGGGGUAGAACAGGUAUAUUUGUUAAAAUAUAGGUAUAAAAUUUUUUUAAAGUUCCAAUAAGUCAUUUCCGUUAAACUUAACGGAUUUCAUCACUUUUAUAAUUUAGUUCAAAACAUUGGGUGUCAUGUUGUACGUUUUGAAACCACGGGGGAUUUUUCUGUAUAUCAACUUUACCACAAGGGGCGCUUUUUUUUUUACCCUUUUCUCUUUGGGUUUGUAUUUUCUGAUUCUAGUUUUCCUUUUGUGUUUGCUGUAAAAGAAAAAUAAAUGAAGCGCUCAAACAAACCAGUAAGGACUAAACUGUUAGAUGAGCAAAGAUUUAAGGGGUUAAACUGUUCGAAAACCCAAAAUUAAUAAGACCCCCUUCUUUCUUUCUUGUGUCUUCCAUCAGCCGCAGUCUACAGCAGGCUACCAAGUCCCCCAAAGCCCAUCAUCAAUCUCUCCUUUUUCUCUCCCCAACUGUUUCCCCUAUCCAUCAUCGAAAAAAGUUGAAUGGGUUCUAUUUGAUCGUCUUAAAUUUAGGAGAUAAUGGUAGGAAAAUUUGUCAGUUCAAUGAUCCAAUGUUGCGCUGGCAAUAAAGAUACUCUUGGCUGCUUAUUGCUUUAUACUAGUAUUUUUUUAACAGAUAACUGUUUUUCAAGGAAUUGAAUAACCACUGACUCUCGGAAAAGGCAUAGGUAUGCCCCCAUUUCGCAGCCAUAAUCUGCUACAUGACGAAAUAAAGAUUCUUUUUUAUAGACAAAGUAUUUGUAGAAAUGUCUGUGAGGUAUUUCUGAGAUGAACCUUUAAUGUGGGAAUUAGAUUGGCAUGUGUUUUGACUAGGAGUAUUUAGCUUUUAACAUUUUCAGCUAAUGGUUAUGCGAUAGAACUUAGGAGAUCAAUACAGUUGCUGGGAGUAGAUUUUCUUUUCUUUUGAAGAAUAUGAAACAUGCUUUUUACUUGGAUGUGAGCUAUUAACUUUUAUCAGUGGGAAUGCUAAACAAGAAAAAUUCUUCAUGGAAAUUAUGAUAGUCUCUAAUUUCAACAUGAAACUAACUUACUGGUUGACAUCAUAAGGGGUGUAUUACUGCCUCGUUGCAGUUGCACGCUUUAUUGAAACAUUGCUGCAAAGAAGUGGAAAAGGUGAUAUUAAGCAGACUGAGAUUUGUGACUAUUAUACUAAUAUGUCUUGAUUUUCUACUUGCUAGAAUACCACAAUCAAUAUGAUUCUACUAGCAAGUACUGUUUCUGGUUCAAUCCCAGUAAACCAACUUAUUAAUUCAUCAAAACAGAGGCCAAGCAGUCGUUCUUGUGUUGUAAAUUCAGCAGUUGCGAUGACAAAUGAAGUUAAAAGAAGGUGCAUUCACUUUUGAACACUGAGACUGUUUGAACACGCAUUUGAGUUUUUCAAACUUUCAUUCUUUGAAUUUGUAUUGCGUGGCAGUUGUGAGUUUUAUGACAUGCAUAAAGAACUCAUUCCGUAUGCUGAGGCAUGGUCUUGGCAGAAGGACAUAGUUAAAAAGAGGAAGGAGUUGAUCGAAAGGGAAAAAGACUGUUCAGACACACUGAUCAUUUUGCAGCACCAUCCUGUUUAUACAUUGGGUACUCGUAGUUCUGAGGCUUACUUGAAUUUUAGCAUGAAAAAUGCGCCCAUUAAUGUAUAUCGAACCGAACGGGGAGGCGAAGUUACAUACCAUGGACCUGGACAGGUAGAUUCUACUUUUCAGGAGAAUUUUGUACCUAAUAUCUUAGGGUGUUAUUUUUAUAGCUCAGGAAUAUUGAUAUUCGGACCUGAACCUGGGUUGACUAACUAGUGUUUUGUGCGAGCCACUCAGAUAUGUGUUUCUCAUGAUAAUGGUAGUCAUGUUAUUAGAACUUUUGUGGGAUCAAUUUGAAGGGAAAGCCAUUUGUUUAAACCUGACUGCAUUCAGGCUGGGUAUAUUUGCUUCAUCCAGCAUUUGGGAAGUUGGGUUUGUUCCACCAUCCCAAAGUCUAGAAUCAAAUAUGUAAUCUUAUAAAUAAGUAGUCUUAUAAGUUGUUCCAGCAGAUUCAGUAGCAUGUAUCCUGUAUCAUGCUCAAGGCUGUCAAUUAAAUAAAUGUGUUUCUUUGAGCAUCAAAACCUUUUUAAUUCUGACAUUUUACAUUUUUGUUUUGUAGCUAGUGAUGUACCCAAUAAUCAAUCUCCGAUAUCACAAAAUGGAUCUUCAUUGGUACCUCAGGGCACUUGAAGAAGUUGUUAUUCGUGUUCUUUCCUCAACAUUUUUCAUUAAAGCUUCACGUAUUGAGGGCCUAACUGGUGUUUGGGUUGGUAGGUUGGCAAUCCUUUGACUAAUAUUCUAUUGCCUUUGCCAUACUUACACAAGCUUAACGGUUGUGAAAUGAGUGAAGGUUAUUCAAUUUGUAAUUUGGAAGGAUUAGGUUUGGCCUCUAAUAACUGUUUGUAUAGAAUUCCUUUCUAUGUGAAUAAGUAACCAUGUAGCUGCUGAAAAUGCCUUGAUGUCUUCCUAUCAUUAAAGAGGAUUUGAUUAUUGUUCAUUGAACUAGUUGGCAGUGAAAUCCAAGGCAAGAAUCUUGAAUGUAGAUUCCAUAAUAGAAUGAGUUCUGUGAACAUUUUGCAAGUAGACUUUUCAUUGAAAAAUUGGCAGACUAAAAAUAUGGUCAGUGCUAUCAUUUUCAUCGGUUGUCAUUAAGGAUAGAAAGAACUUACACUUUUUUAUGUCCUUGGAUUAAAUUUGUAGUCUACUAUCAUGGAUUAAAUUUGUAGUCUACUAUCAUGUUUUCACUUCUUAAGGCACUUUGACAGUCCAUUUGUUUUUAGCAACACUUGAAUCUCAUUCCAUAUGUAUCAUCUGAAAAUUGUGAGUUUUCAGCACAUAUGCAUAAAGUUUUACAGAUAGAUUGUUCUUGUCUUUUGUCCUUGACAUCUUUUCCCUUCCUCUGAUGUGCUUUAGGAAUUAUCCUUCUGGAAAAGCUGGAUUGAAUGGAUCCAUGCGUGAUGGUUUUAUAGUAAAAUUAAUUUGCUUGUAAAAUUAAUUUGCUAUUGACUUCUUAAUAGCAAUGUCAUAUUUAGCAUUUAAUUUAAGAUUGCUGGUGAAAUAGACAGAGACUAACACCUGUGACCCCUUCAGGAGACCAAAAACUGGCAGCUAUUGGUAUAAAAGUGUCACAGUGGAUAGCAUACCAUGGAUUAGCAUUGAAUGUUGCCACAGAUCUGACAGCAUUUGGUCAAAUUGUCCCUUGCGGUAUUCAAGAUCGUCAAGUUGGAAGCAUAAAGGGUCUGUUGCAGGAACAUGUUUCAUCUAAUCGACGUGGAGCUGAAAGCAAGUAUGACAUUGAUGAUAACCAGCUGAUUGAUAUUACUCACAAAUCUCUGGUUCAAGAGUUUUGCAAAAUUUUUCAAGUUCACCUCCGUCAUAAGCCUAUCCCAGCAGGAAUUGCCUGGGAAAGGCCUGAGGUUUUACAUUCUAUAACUGAAAAAGGAGACUAAAAGAACAUGAAGGAUGCACCAGGUGCUUUCCAUUUUCCUGUUAAGUAUGUCUUACACUCCAUUUAUGCAGAAAAUUUCAAGACUCGGCUUAGUUUUACAGUGUCAGGAUUCUUGGAUAUUCAAAUUCUCUUUAUAGCAAGUUUGUGCAAAUCUUUAUGGUCUAUUGAGAAACUUUCAGAGCAUUUUAUUCUUUCAUUUACAGAGAGAUAGGAGUCUAAUAAAUGGGAUGAUGAAUCUUUUCUGCAAAUAGCCAUUGGAGCACAAAAUUGCGUGACAGAAUUUACAUGAUUCUCAAGGAUUGUAAUGGCAAUACAUUUGCACAUCUGCAGAUGCUCUUGAUGACUGCCUGAAAUUGAAAGAGUUUGAGUUGGCUGGAAUCAGAUUUGCUCCAAUGCCUGUUCAAGAAGAAGAGCUAACUAGGAACCAGAGUAUGAUCUAAAAUAUGCGGUUUACGUGGUAAUUACUCCAGCUAAGCACAUUACUAGUUUGCAUUGUAUGUGCUUUUAAUUUUCCUUCUCUAUAUUUUUGUGAUACUGUGAAGUAGUUUGAGGGUGCUAUAUGUUUAAGCAUUACUAGGUUACAGCUGAUUUUUACAAAACUGCCAUCUUUAGAUCAUCUUGCUGAUAGCACAUUGAAAUUUAGUUCAGCAUUAUAAUUUGUAUAAAGUUACUUGUGAUUUGGAUCUGUUGAUUGACAAAAAUUUUUAAUUAGGCUGACUUAGGGAUAUAGCCUCUGCCUGGCCCUCGAGUACUUGUUUCCUGGAGGCAUCAACUUCUGUAUCCUUCAAGGCGUGUUGUGGUGGCAAAAGUUGAACCCCACUGACGGGAAGCUUUGGGAGAUCUCAAUUCAAACUGUCAAAAAGCAAUAUGGCUCAAAAUUGGUGGCAGGAACCCAUAAGAGAGAUUUAGCAGAUUUUGAUUAUGUACUGCAAUUGGACAAGGGGAGCUGGAUAUGUUGAUCAGCUCAACCAGGAUUCAGACAGUCUUGCUGGUUGAAACUUGUAAAAAAUCUUGGCAUUUCAGUUGGAACUGUUUCCUUGUUAACGGUUGGAAAUCUUAGAGUUCAGUUGGAUAGAUUUUGUUUCCCCGUUGUCAGUUCGAACUUGGAAAUCUCAUAUUGUGUUUUCCCUUUGGCCCCCAUCGCUUUGUAGUUUGUAGUGCGUCCGAGUAUACAUCAAAUGGCCCUUUUAAAAGACAUGUCAAUGAGAUAUUGCACAAUUUUCAUUUAUUUAGUAUAUAAGAAAAUGAAGCAUUUCAAUUACAUAAAAUGAAUAAUUUUAGUUAAAUAUUGCUAACACUUAAAAAUUAAUAAUAAUGACAUCAAAAUCAAGCAUGAAUUCUUAAAUAAAUUAAUAACCAAGUCGAGUUUGAAUUUAAUUUUCAAAAUUUUUUUUGAGGUGGUUGCCAAUCAAUAAUUCAACAUAUAGGCAUUUCCAAAGUUUUAGAGUCCCUAUACGUAUUUAGCUGCAGGCAUUUCCCAAGUUUCACAGUCCAUUGGUUAGAUGACCACCACCACCACCAGUGGCGGCCAGCCGCCACAACCAUCGGCCGAACCCCGGCUGAUCCCAGACCUCCCAGAUGACGUGUCCAUCAACUGCCUAUCAAGAAUCCCCAGAUACUAUUACCCUAAGCUCUCUCUUGUCUCGAGAUCAUGGCGCUCCGCCAUAACCUCCUCUGCACUCUUCACCACCCGGUCCCUCCUCCAUACCACCCAAACCUCUCUCUACCUCAUCCUCCGCAUCAACUACUCCUUCCACUGGUACCCUCUCCUCUAUAAUUGCCAUAGCAGAAAAAUCCCACAAAAACCCAUUUUUUCCCUUCCCCGCAUCCCGUUUCAGCCCGUAGGACCUGCGUUCGCCGCCUUAGGCCCGAAAAUAUACGUAAUUGGGGGGUCUAUUAACAAAACUCCGUCAAAUUCGAUGUGGGUUUAUGAUUGUAGGUUUAAUAGGUGGGCGGAAGGCCCAAGAAUGAUGGUGGGACGGGAGUUCGCUGCGGCCGGGGUUGUUAAUGGGAAGAUUUAUGUUCUAGGUGGUUGUCUUGUGGAUAGCUGGGCGGAGGUUUUUGACCCGGAUACUGGGUUGUGGGCCCCGGUGCCAAGCCCUAUUGAGGUGAGGGAGAACGGGAUGCACGCGAGCGCGGUGGUGGAGGGGAGAGGUGGGGUGGUGUAUGAUAUUGGGCUGGGGAACUGGGGAAAAGUGUCAAAAAGGGCUGCGGUGGUUCGGGGAGUGUUGUAUUGUUGUGAUUAUUUAGGGAAGAUCAGAGGGUACGAUGUGGAGAAAGGUGUUUGGAAGAAGUUGAAGGGUGUACGGUUGCCUAUUUUUUCAUGUGGUGCGACGAUGGUGAAUUUCGAUGGGAGGUUGUGUGUUGUUUGGGAGAAAAAGGGGAGUGGGAAGGAGGUGGAGAUAAAGUGUGCGGAUAUUGAAGUUUGGAAGGAAGAGGAUGGAAAGUUGGAUGGAAGGAUUUUGUGGUCUGGUGUGAUUCUCAAAGUUCCUGAUGGAGCUGCGAUUGUACAUUGUAUGGCAGCUGAGUUCUGAUGGUGAUGUUUGGUGCAGGGUAUGGCAAUUGUUCUUUGGUGCAUACGUUGCUUAUAAUAUUCAGGUUCUUUUAUCUUUGAAGCAUGUUAGCCAUUUAGUUAUCUGAUUCAUUUGGCCUUGUUUGGAUUGCCGGUUUCGUCGAAAAAUUACGCAGUUUUUCGUGAUCACAUUUCCGUAUUACCUUUUUUUCUCACAUACAUCAAAUCGCUACAGUAAUUUUUCCACGAAAAAUCAAGAAAAAUGCAAUCCAAACACUUUUUUAUGCGUUUAGCCUUGUACGGUUAUACCAUGCCUGUAAACUUCCCUCUCUCUCGUUCUAAUUGAAUAGUCAUUAAAUAUAGUUAUAUAAAACUGGUUCGUUGCAGAGAGUGUGAACUUUUACUUCAUUCUUUGCGAGGAAAGGGGAAAAUAGAGCGCAAAUUGGGGCAAUGGCCAUUGACGAGGGAACAUCCCUGAACCUCUGAAGCACACAUAAAAAGGAACAAGCUCGAUUGGUUCAUUCUAUACUUUUUAAUUGACUUCCCCCCCUUAUUUGAUAUUAAUUGGUCAUCUUGCCUAAAAUAUGCUUUCAUAUAAUUAUGGAGCAAAAAAUCUACGGAAUAAAGCCAGCAGCUGAACAUGUCCUAUACUGUAACAAGGGUUACCCAACAGACUGACUGCCUCCACUUUCAUAAGAGUUUAAAAACAUUUGAUUUUCAUAUGCCAAGCAACGUCAUUCAUCCAAUCCCAGAAGACCCCAGCUAGUGUUUUAUGUCUUUUGUUCUUUUGCCUAACUGUGAAGUCCCGCUGGCAUAAAUUGUUCUUUUAGGUUCCUCCUCCUUGUUUAGACAUUUUAAUCAUUCAUUACUGCUUCUUGAGCUUCUUGCUGGAAAAUUUUCUUCUUUUUUAUUAUCCUAUUUGCCUUUGAAUUUUUCCUGGAUGGACCGAUGAUGUAAUAAGAAAUAAACUGCGUUAUCUAUCUGCAAUUUCCCAAAUGGAAUUGAAGAUUAAUUUGUCUUCCUGAGGUUCUGUAUGAUAAUUAUCAGUCUAAUGGUUUCAUAAUGUCAUUUUUUCAAUUUCUUUUUCGAUAUUGAAGUCUGUACUGGUGGUUUAAUUUGUUUUAUGAUCUGAGGAUGAGCAUCAGUGAUGACAUAUGACAAUUGUUAUCCUUGCACUUUGAUUACCAGUGAAGAAAACUAUGGGGAUUGACUCUGAGAUGCUGUUCUCCUCAUUUCCCACCUCUCUGUUGAGUUAUGUACUUUAUUUUUGAUGCUGUAAUCUGGAGAUUCUGAGAUUCAGUCGAAUGGUAUACUCACAGUUGUUUUACCCAUGUAUUCAAAAUGGAUUAGAGCCAAAUUCAACACGAGCAUUUUGGAUUUGUUUGUUUUUUAAGAUAUUUUCUCAAUUGACAAAAUGGCCUUAUAAUGUGAUACUCUGCUACUUUGAUGUCCCCAUGAUGAUUGCGCUGCCAUUGCUUGAUUUUUUUUUAGAUUUAGACAGAUUCAAUAUUUUUUGAACAUUGCUGUAGUUUAGUCUUGAUUGUCCAUUCUGGAUCAGUGAUGUUAAUGUUUUUACUGCGUUAUCUAUCUGAAAUCCAGUUGAGGAUAGACUUACUUCCUGAGAUCCAGUCCAUUUUUUAUUGAGCAUCAUUAAUUACCACUCAUGGAUUAUAUUGCAAAUGUGAGAUACUACCCUCCUUGCCUUUUGUUUGUCCCGGGUUUUCUUAACAAUCCGGUCCCAGAAGUGAGCAUUUGAAUUUAUCAUGAAAGUUCAAUUUAUACGAUCGCUUUUGCUUGCUAUAUGAUGACUUUAUAGUAUGGAAUUGCGUGUGUAGUCAGCUACCUUACACUUUUUCUUUCCCUCUGUUUCAACUCUUAGAAUUUUGGUCCACUUUUAUUUUUGAGUCAUUCUGUCAUGUUGUUACUUGUCCCUGGUGUGCAAAAUUUGUUCUUGAAGGUGAUAAUAUCGUAUAUGUUUUUGCAGCUACUUUUUUUAAUUUGCAGACAUCUAUUGAGGGAUAAGUGUUAGAUGAGAACGUAUACUCCAUUUGAGUUCAUUUCUUGGAGCUUUGGUUCAUUUUCUAGUCAUUUUCUCCUGUCGCCAUCUUUCAUUGGCAUUCACAAUUCCCUUUAAGGGAAUGAGAAAUUCCUGUUUACUUGUGAGGUCAUUCAUUUCAAAAGGCUGACAAUCAUUCAAGUGCCAGGCUUCCUUUAUGGAACUUUGUUUCCAAAGCUGGUCGCCUCACAUCUGUUCUUCUUCCCCUUCAUGUAAUUUCAAAUUUCUUGCUUCUAUAGCUAAAAUGAAUUUUCAUCCAUUCACUUCCAUUGCUUAUGGUCUGAAAAGGAGGGCUGCCUGAGCACGUGGGGCUUUACUGUUGAUCUUCUUGUAUGAGAGAUGCAUUAUGAUUUUUAGCUUCCUAUUUCAUUAAUCCCGAGUACUUUCAUUGAUGACAAAAAACCAUGUGGUGUUUUUAACAGGAUUCUCACUGCAAUCAAUUUUUCAAACUAUUCCGGUUGAGAAGUAGGUGAUAAAUUGCUCCUUAGCAAAAUGAUGCUACUGCAGUUUCGUCUAGCUCAGAUUGUGUGACUAAGCUACAUUGGGUUAGCUAUCCAGCUGCUUCAGAUUCUCCAAAAUGCCGAGGUGUAUUGCGUAGUCCAAGUCGCCACCACCUGUGGUCCAUUGGUUGAUAAUUUGCUGGCCAAGUUUGCUAUAUUCAAUCUGGAAAUUAUCUUCUGUAUUUCUAUUCAGCCACAUUCUCGACAAUAUCUACUUUCUCCAAUAUGUGUGUAUAGUAGUAGGGUUUAUCUGCAGCUGGCAAUGUAAGUUCGACCGGUCCUGCUGCUUCUUGUUGUAUGUACCUUUCUUUUCCCUUUUGAUUCGAAAGUAAUUUACUGUGCUCAGACAGACCAGUGGAUGUCAGAUAAGCUCAUGUGUUUUAUUCGUGCAUUGUGCUAUAAAUUCUACUCCCUCAGUUAUUGGUUUCAGAAUUGUUAAAUCCUUUCAUCUGGAUGGAAAUCUCGUGCUCUCAUGCAACUGUAUAUCACUUAGGAUCAAAUUCAUAUGUUUAUAGUCAUUCCACUUCAAAUACAACUGCAUGUUCAGUGAUUUUGAGCAUUGUUGUUCAUUUCAUUCGUAAAUCCUGAAUAUGAAGUGUCUAUAUAUAUAUAUAUAUAUAUAUAUAUAUAUAUAUGUAUGUAUGUAUGUAUAGGAGUGACUUCCCACGAAAGGUCGUUUUUACAGUUAUUCUACAAGUAUAGGGAUCCUUCAGCAAUGGAGAAAAAUGUCGUGCUCGCCUUCCUAGGGACGAGGACAUAGAAGAGCAUGAGCCCCCACUGGACAUUCGCAGGUGGAUCUUGUAUGAUCUUCAGACGGAUCCUUAGUGACGGUCAAAAUGUUUAAAUUUUCUGUUUUGACACCUUUUUUUCUUGUUUUGACGGUUAAUGCCCCUCGAAAUAGUGUCUAAAACUUCUAUAAAAACGUCAGACCAACCACUGGUGUUAAUCACUUGGCUAAGAAAAUACAUGAUUCAUUAGACAAAAGUUGCAACUUUCAAAUACUUCUAGAUCAUAUAGGGGGUGAUUUGCUAUAGAAAAUUACUAGAAUUCCCUUAAAAAACAGUCCAUAGUUCAAGUAGGGUUUGUCUUACUUAGUGCAAAGAGUAAAAGAUAGACAAAUUUCAAAUUAUGGUGAAGGCUAAUUUGUCCAAGCUCUAUUACUAGACAACUAAAAUCUAAAGAAAAGUGAUUUUGAAUCAAGAUUUGAAACCUUUAUUUUGUGUUUUUAUCUUUGUAUCAUUCAGCCAUUUUCUUUGUAAUAUUCCCAACAUUUUGCACCUUUGAUCGUGAUACAUUUCCCACGCUUUGAUACACCCAAUAUAGACCACAUCAUAGGUGUAUAUUCUGAAUAGGGGUGUAAGAGUCGAGUAUAUUCUGAAUAUACAACAUCAUGGGUAUAUUCUGAGUUUCGAACUAAUCAAACCGAGUCUCGUUCGAACUCGAUUUUGAACUCGUCGAGUUCAAAAUGUCUAGUUUGAGUUUAAAAUUUUUUUAAAAAAUUAAUUAUUUUAUUUUAAAAUGAAUAAAAUAAUAAUUUUUCUUAACGAAUAAUAAAAUAUUAGAGAUAUAUAUAUGUAAUUUUACUAUUAAAAUAAAAAAUUAAAUACAUAAUCAAAUUUGAACCGGCUCACGAGAUAAUGAGAUUAGUAUUUUUGAACUCGAAUUUGACUUGAUUAACUUGAAUUUGACUCGAGCUCGAUGUUGACCGAACUCAAGCGAUUCGAUUCGUUUGCAGGUUGCGGUCCUAAUUCUGAGUACAAAAGUUCCUUUCCCACACAAAAUACAUAUGAUUGAUGUCUUUUACAACAUUGCCUGAUAUGGUACUAAAACCAAUCUUGACAGUUUCUGCAGUAAAUAUGUUCUCAUCUCAAGAUCUACGUCACUAUUUAUACAGUUAUCCAUAUGCACAUUUAUACCAAGGCAUUUCCCAAGUUUCAGGCUUUCAGCUACAGGGUUUCAACCUAGGUCCAUUGGGGCCUUGUUCAGUUACAGGGUUUUUUAGUGAGUCCCUUUUAUAUUAGUCUUUGACUCAAUUUUACGAUGACUCCUGAGUGUUUCUAAUUUAACUGGGUGUGUGUUGAUUUCGGUUCGGAAGAAAAAUUUCCCAAGUUUCAGUCCACAGCUACAGUUAUGCUAUGGAUAUGAAGUAUCAUAAAUUGUUAGAUGACCCUUUUAGAAGGUGAAUGAGAUAUUACUGCACAAUUUUCAUUUAUUUAGUGCAAGAAAAUGAAGCAUUUCAAUUACAAAAAAAAAAAAGAAAUAAUUUUGGUUAAAUUUUGAUACAUUAAAAGUUAGUAUAAUAACAAUAAUUGGGUCUGUUUGAUUAUCAAGAUUUGCAUAUAUAUAUAUAUAUAUAUAUAUUAUAAAUAUAAUUUUGAAUCACUUUUUUACCUAAUAUAAAUUACAUUACAAGUAAUGCUACAGUAUUAUUUUAGAUACUUUUUAGCUUAUGGGAGGUCUCUACAGUUAAAUCCCUAUGCAUAUUUAGCUGCAACCACCUUGACCGAGCAACCAACCAACAUAGGCAUUUCCAAAGUUUUCACAGUACACUGGUUAGAUAUGACCACCACCACCUCCUCCAGUGGCAGCCAGCCGCCACAACCAUCGGCUGAACCCCAGCUGAUCCCGAAGCUCCCAGAUGACGUGUCCAUCGACUGCCUAGCAAGAGUCCCCAGCUCCCAUUACCGUGAUCUCUCUCUUGUCUCGAAAACAUGGCACUCCGCCAUAACCUCCUCUACACUCUUGACCGCCCGGUCCCGCCUCCGUACCACCCAAACCUUUCUUUACCUUAACCUCCGCAUCGACAACUCCGUCGACUGGUACACUCUCGUCCCUAAUUGCCAAAACCCACAAAAACUCAUUUUUCCCCUUCCCCGCAACCGGGUCCAGCCCGUAGGGCCCGCGUUGGCUGUCCUAGGCCCGAAAAUAUACGUAAUUGGGGGGGCUUUUGAUGGAAUUCCGUCAAAUUCGAUGUGGGUUUAUGAUUGUAGGUUCAAUAGGUGGGAGGAAGGCCCUAGAAUGAAGGUGGGCCGGGAGUUCGCCGGAGCCGGGGUUGUUGAUGGGAAGAUUUAUGUUCUAGGUGGUUGUGUUGUGGAUGGUACGGCUCAGUCUAUGGACUGGGCCGAGGUUUUUGACCCGGUUACCGGGUUGUGGACCACGGUGCCGAGCCCUGUUGAGGUGAGGUUGAAGCGGAUGCACGCGAGCGUGGUGAUGGAGGGGAGAGUUUAUGCAAUGGCGGGUAGAAGUGGGGAGGUGUAUGAUGUUGGGGUGGUCGGGAAGUGCGGAAACGUGUUAAUAAUUUGUCGGCGGCAGCCUGCGGUGGUUCAGGGAGUGUUGUAUUGUUGCAAUAUUUUUGGGAAGAUUGCAGGGUAUGAUGUGGAGGAAGGUGUUUGGAAGGAGUUGAAGGGUGUAGGGAAAGGGUUGCCUACGUUCGUCUAUGGCACAACGAUGGUGAAUUUCGAUGGGAGGUUGUGUGUUGUUUGGGAGAAAAAGGGAAGUGGGAAGGAGGUGGAGAUAAAGUGUGCGGAUAUUGAAGUUUGGAAGGAUGGGGAUGGAAUGUUGGCUGGAAGGAUUUUGUGGUCUGGUGUGAUUCUCAAAGUUCCUAAUGGAGCUGAGAUUGUGCAUUGUAUGGCAGCUGAGUUCUGAUCGUGAUGUUUGGUGCAGGGCAUGGCAAUUGUUCUUUGGUGGACAUGUUGUUUAUAAUAUUCAGGUUCUUUCAUCUUUGAAGUAUGCUAGUCAUUUAGUUAUCUGAUUCAUUUGUUUGAAUGCUUUGCUUUUUGUGGGUUUAACCUCAUAUCAUGCAUGUAAACUUCCCUUCCUCGUUCUAAUUGAAUAGUCAUUUAAUAUAGUUAUAUAAAACUGGUUCGUUGCAAAGAGUGUGAACUUUUACUUCAUUCUUUGUGAGGAAAGGGGAAAAUAGAGCGCAAAUUGGGGAAAUGGCCAUUGAGGAGGAACAUCCCCGAACCUCUGAAGCACAUAUAAAAAGGAAUAAGCUCGUGUACUACCCUACAAAUUGUAGUAUUGUUUCACACUGAAUAAGCUCUAUGGGUAGUCAAAUUUUUACUGGAAAACAAAGUUAAUUGUAGGCUGACAUGAAUAAGAAUAAUGGCAUAUAUAUUGCCAUUGAAAAGAUAUUGAAAAUUGCCUCUGCUUAGAGGGCCCCUUCGUUGCCUUUAUUUGUCCUUUUCCAUAUUUUCAUUUAAUUUUUCAGUAAUUCAAGUAACUUAGUUAGAUUUUUUUAUUCAAGAAUUGGUGUUUCAUUCAUGACCUUUGGAACUUAAACACAAUGUCAUGUGUUGAAUUAUGUAAAUGUGUCUUUGGUAGCACAUUUUGGUAUAGUGGCUUGCAACCCUUUGAUACUCUUCUGCUGGGUAAAUGAACUUUAUAAAUGUAGUUACCUUCACCUGUGUCCGCAAAAUAUUAUUGCUGAUAAACUGAAGUUUCAUUAUAUAUUAUCAGGCAGAAAAAAACACUUAGCGAAAGAGGGGGGGAAAAGUUUGAAGGUUAAGUGUUGUGCUGUGUAUACUUAUUAGUAGUGAAGGUGUUUUGGACUUGUGCUUAUGAAUGCCGGAUCCAAGUAGUCAAAAGUACUACUGAAAUUAUUGCAUAGAUUUUUGGAAUUUUAUUACUAAGGUUUAGCCUAAACUAUAGCACUAAUUUACGGGCUGCUUUGUUCGUGAUCCAGAGUAACAUUUGGUUUUGGAAUAGUAAACUAGGCGAUCGCAAUGAUUGUAAUUCAACCUUUUGCUGUGCUUGGCUGGUUCUAUACAUUUUAAUUAACUUUUUUCUCCCUUAUUUCUAGUUAAUUUUUCAUCUUCUUAGUCCUUUUCUGACUUAAAUUUUUCCCCCUUAUUUGAUAUUAAUUGGUCAUCUUGCCUAGAAUAUGCUUUCAUAUAAUUAUGGAGCAAACAAUCUAUGGAAUAAAGCCAGCAGCUGAACAUGUCCUAUACUGUAAUGAGGGUUACCCGGCAGACUGACUGCCUCCACUUUCAUAAGAGUUCAAAAACAUUUGAUUUUCAUAUGCCAAGCGAUGUCAUUCUUCCAAUCCCAGAAGACCCAAACUAGUGUUUCAUGUCUUUUGUUCUUUUGCCUAACUAUGAAGUCCGCUGGCAUAAACUGUUCUUUUAGCUUCUUUCUCCUUGUUUGGACAUUUUAAUCGUUCAUUACUGCUUCUUGAGCUUCUUGCUGGAAAAUUUUCUCCUUUUUUCUUAUCCUAUUCGCCUUUGAAUUUUUCCUGGAUGGACCAAUGAUGUAAUAAGAAAUAAACUGCGUUAUCUAUCUGCAAUUUCCCAAAUGGAAUUGAAGAUUAAUUUGUCUUCCUGAGGGUCCUGUAUGAUAAUUAUCAGUCUAUUCAUUUUUUUUAAUUUCUUUUUCGAUAUUGAAGCGUGUACUGGUGGUUUAAUUUGUUUUAAGAUCUGAGGAUGAGCAUCAGUGAUGAUAUAUGACAAUUGUUAUCCUUGCACUUUGAUUACCGGUGAAGAAAACUAUGGGGAUUGACUCUGAUAUGCUGUUCUCCUCGUUUCCCACCUCUCCGUUGAGUUGUGUCCUUUAUUUUUGAUGCUGUAUACUCACAGUUGUUUUACCCAUGUAUUCAAAAUGGAUUAGUGCCAAAUUCAACACAAGCAUUUUGGAUUUGUUUGUUUUUUAAGAUAUUUUCUCAAUUGACAAAAUGGCCUUAUAAUGUGAUACUCCACUACUUUGAUGUCUCCAUGAUGAUUGCGCAGCCUUUGCUCAAUUUUUUUAGAUUUAGAUUGAUUCAAUAUUUUUUGAGCAUUGCUGUGGCUUGGUCUUUAUUGUCCAUUCUGGAUCAGUGAUGUUAAUGUUUUUACUGCAUUAUCUAUCUGAAAUCCAGUUGAGGAUAGACUUACUUCCUGAGAUCCAGUCCAUUUUAUGUUUAGCAUCAUUAAUUACCGCUCAUGGAUUAUAUUGCAAAUGUGAGGUACUACCCUCCUUGCUUUUUCUUUGUCCCGGGCUUUCUUAACAAUCUGGUCCCAGAAGUGAGCAUUUGAAUUUAUCAUGAAAGUUCAAUUUAUACGAUCGCUUUUGCUUGCUAUAUGAUGACUUUAUAGUAUGGAAUUGCAUGUGUAGUCAGCUACCUUGCACUUUUUCCUUCACUCUGUUUCAACUCUUAGAAUUUUGGUCCUUUAUUUUUGAGUCAUUCUGUCAUGUUGUUACUUGUCCCUGGUGUGCAAAAUUUAUUCUUGAACGUGAUAAUAUCGUAUAUGUUUUUGCAGCUACUUUUUUUAAUUUGCAGACAUCUAUUGAGGGAUAAGUGUUAGAUGAGAACAUAUACUCCAUUUGAGUUCAUUUCUUGGAGCUUUGGUUCAUUUUCUAGUCAUUUUCUCCUGUCGCCAUCUGUCAUUGGCAUUCACAAUUCCCUUUAAGGGAAUGAGAAAUUCCUGUUUACUUGUGAGGUCAUUCAUUUCAAAAGGCUGACAAUCAUUCAAGUGCCAGGCUUCCUUUAUGGAACUUUGUUUCCAAAGCUGGUCGCCUCACAUCUGUUCUUCUUCCCCUUCAUGUAAUUUCAAAUUUCUUGCUUCUAUAGCUAAAAUGAAUUUUCAUCCAUUCACUUCCAUUACUUAUGGUCUGAAAAGGAGGGCUGCCUGAGCGCGUGGGGCUUUACUGUUGAUCUUCUUGUAUGAGAGAUGCAUUAUGAUUUUUAGCUUCCUAUUUCAUUAAUCCCGAGUACUUUCAUUGAUGACAAAAAACCAUGUGGUGUUUUUCACAGGAUUCUCACUGCAAUCGAUUUUUCCAACUAUUCCGGUUGAGAAGUAGGUGAUAAAUUGCUCCUUAGCAGAAUGAUACUACUGCAGUUUCGUCUAGCUCAGAUUGUGUGACUAAGCUACAUUGGGUUAGCUAUCCAGCUGCUUCAGAUUCUCCAAAAUGCCGAGGUGUAUUGCGUAGUCCAAGUCACCACCACCUGUAGUCCAUUGGUUGAUAAUUUGCUGGCCAAGUUUGCUAUAGCCAAUCUGGAAAUUACCUGUAUUAUUCUCGACAAUAUCUACUUUCUCCAAUAUGUGUGUAUAGUAGGGUUUAUCUGCAGCUGGCAGUGUAAGUUCGACCGGUCCUGCUGCUUCUUCUUGUAUGUACCUUUCUUUUCCCUUUUGAUUCUAUAGUAAUUUACUGUGCUCACACAGACCAGUGGAUGUCAGAUAAGUUCAUGUGUUUAUUCGUGCAUUGUGCUAUAAAUUCUACUCCCUCAGUUAUUGGUUUCAGAAUUGUUAAAUCCUU